This 79583-nucleotide long non-coding RNA is filed under the name Triticum aestivum (bread wheat). RNAcentral describes it as "long non-coding RNA (TAES_LNC018853)". The record is from RNAcentral. Lineage: Eukaryota; Viridiplantae; Streptophyta; Magnoliopsida; Poales; Poaceae.
GUAAAAAAAGGUGAUACUACUAGUAUAAAACACAAGAAAGACACCACUUAUAAAUCCCUAAACAUAGAUGAACUGCAAAAAGAAUAUUCAGAGUUCAGUACACCAAGCUCCAAUAUAAACCGCUGACUAUGAUUGGUGAUCCCCCUACUUCAACCUCCUGAUGGCUACUACUUGGACACAAAGUUUUUCUCUAACUUAGCAAACCAACAAAUCUCCUUGACUUCACUCUUGCUUCAGAGCACACACCAACUUUCCUAAUUGACUGCCUAGCUGCCUCUGCCUCUGCUGCUCCUCCGCUGGUUUAGCUCUCCUUCUCACCUAGUACCUCCUAAUUUGCAAGCAACUGCAAUGCAACAACCACUGACUCUGUGAUUCAUCCAUCUAUUUCUCCUGCCCUCCUCACUCACCCUCCUCUAUACAAACAAAAAAUCUUCUUAGGGGGAACCAAUUAAGUAAUGGAACUGCUUAGGAAAUUAAGUAAUGGCCGACACCAACUCGUACACGAUGCCUAAAUCCAGUGCUUGUUUGACUUUACUGAAUUACCAACGCAUGGCACACAACACAUUUAUAUUUUGUCAGGUCACACAACACUUGUUCUGCAAAUCUUAGUGAACUUUUGAGUGCAUUUAUCACUUGUUGGAGUAUGCUACAGCUUCUGCAAAUCACAAACUCCUUUAGUUUACAUCUCAGUUUUAGCUAACACUACAGUUUCAGUGAAGGAGUCAUAACUGAAUAACAGGCACUAUAAAUGAAUUUGAUGGCAUCAAACUAAAUUUUCAAACUCACAGCAACAAAUUCAACAGUGAGUAAGCCUAAAGAUUCUUCUCUUGCAAACCCCCAACCCUAGCUACUUAAUUCUCCAACCCCCUUUCCUUGUCCAAAAUUCUCCAACCCCCAACCCUAGAACACAUCAGAAGCAAAUCAAGAGGGGGAAGCGGCUCGGGUGCUCACUGGGGAGGUCGAGGGCGACUCGGGGUAGCCGGAGCUAGUCGAGGCGGCGCGAAUUCGGCGUCGAGCGGUGGCGAUGGUGGCCGAGGCGGAGGAAAUCGGCGGGCGUCGAAGGGAUGGCUCGAGGGCGUCCGAGCUCGUCCGGGUCCUCGUAGUCGAAGAGGAAGACCUCCUCCUCCUCCUCCUUCGNNNNNNNNNNNNNNNNNNNNNNNNNNNNNNNNNNNNNNNNNNNNNNNNNNNNNNNNNNNNNNNNNNNNNNNNNNNNNNNNNNNNNNNNNNNNNNNNNNNNNNNNNNNNNNNNNNNNNNNNNNNNNNNNNNNNNNNUCCUCCUUCGGCUCGGGGCGCGGGGGCGCGGGGCGGCGGCGCGGGGGAGCUGCAGUGGUGGGGGGCGCGGGGGCGGCGGCGCGGGGGAGCUGCUGUGGUGGGGGUGCGGGGGCGGGGGUCGGGGCGACGGCGUCGUGGGUCAGGUGAGCGCGCUGGUGGACUGGCGAGGGAGAGGGACGAAGGGGAUCUGGCGAGGGAGAGGGAGGAAUUAGCUAAGGGGGGAAACUUACUAAUGGCGCACCCCGAAGCGGUGCGCCAUUAGAAUGUUUUUUUUACAUAGCAAUGGCGCACCCACGAUCGCUGCGCCAUUAGUAAUCUUUUUUUUUAUAUAGCAAUGGCGCACCAGCCAGAGGUGCGCCAUUAGUAAUCUUUUUUUAUAUAGCAAUAGCGCACCAGCCAGAGGUGUGCCAUAAGUAAUUUUUAUUAUUAUUAUUUUUUGUUGCAUCUAAUAAUUUUUUAGAAAAUGAAUAUGAAUAUGAAACAGUAAUAUUUUUUUAAAAAUAUCAUCAAAUUUGUUAUUUGAAAAUAUUUAUGAAUAUGAAAAAAUAUCAUCAAAUUAUUAUUUGAAAAUAUCAUCAAAUUUGUUAUUUGAAAAUAUAAUCAAAUUUGUUUUUUUUUGCAAUUUUAGUUGCAUUCNNNNNNNNNNNNNNNNNNNNNNNNNNNNNNNNNNNNNNNNNNNNNNNNNNNNNNNNNNNNNNNNNNNNNNNNNNNNNNNNNNNNNNNNNNNNNNNNNNNNNNNNNNNNNNNNNNNNNNNNNNNNNNNNNNNNNNNNNNNNNNNNNNNNNNNNNNNNNNNNNNNNNNNNNNNNNNNNNNNNNNNNNNNNNNNNNNNNNNNNNNNNNNNNNNNNNNNNNNNNNNNNNNNNNNNNNNNNNNNNNNNNNNNNNNNNNNNNNNNNNNNNNNNNNNNNNNNNNNNNNNNNNNNNGCGAGGGGGACCGGAUCUGGCGAGGUGGGAUAGCGAUCGAGAUGGAGGGGGGUCGAGAUCGAGUGUCCAUGAAAUUUAAAAAUAUUCAUGAGUUCAAAAAGUGCCCAUGAAAUACAAUCGAGAAAUGAAGGCUACAAUUUAAAUACAAUCGAUCUUAGCUAGCUAUCUGUUCACAAUCUUCUUGCCCUUAUUUUUCGUAAAUGGAGUUCUUCUCUUGAACGGACGUCCUUUAGGUAGGGUGGUCCUGCUUCUUCUUGUGGUGUAUGUUGAUACUUCAUCGUCGUCGUCAUGUUCCAUCUUCGGUUCGCCGUACUUGUCGAAGUCUUGCUCAUUGGCGACUCCAUCCAUUCCGAUGAUCUUCCUUUUGCCUCUCCUCACGACAACACGACUGGGCUUUGACGGGUCGGUAAUGAAGAAGCAUUGGUCCACUUGGGAAGCCUGUACCCAUGGCUCAUUUUUCGCGGUGAUGUUCGCGCCUGCGGUCUUGGAUUUGGCUUCGGGUAUAACCAUGGUGGUGAAAUACCGGUCUUCUUUUAUGACGCUCUUGGCCCAUCUGACACGGAACAUCGGGACCUUCUCUCCAGCGUAGGUCAGCUCCCAGAUCUCCUCGAUCCUUCCGUAGUAUUUGUCCUUGUCGUUACCGGUGUAGGAUUCCAUCGUUACCCCAGAGUUCUGAUAACCAUCGCUCUUCAUGUCCUUGUCCUCGGUGUAGAAUGUGUAGCCAUUGAUAUCGUACGCCUCAUACGUCAUCAGGUUGUGCUCGGCGCCCUGUGACAAGGCGAAUAUGAGUUGUUCUUUCACGGAAGAAUCCUCAUGUAAAGGGUAUGACAGAAGCUUCUGCUUGAACCAACGCGUGAAACAUGAGUUGUGCUCUUUGAUUAUAUCUCCGUCCGUCCUCUGUUGGCCUCGGUCAUUGUACGUCUUCUCAAUAAAGGUUUUGUGCUCUACCACCCAAGGAUCGACCACUUCUAUGUGUUGUAGUGCGACUAGGUUUGCUCUUUCAAAGUCGGCGAGUCGACCAUCGAAGUAAACAUGCAUUUCGCGGCGACCCUCACGGUGACCCAUCCAGCGAGCCUGCCGAGGUGCCUGUUGACGGGCAGACCAACGGGGUUCUCGAUGCCUAGAUAAUUCGUGCAGUAGGAGAUGCACUCUUCAGUCAGAAAGCCCCUGGCUAUGCUUCCCUCUGGACGUGACAUGUUGCGAACGUAUCCUUUGAUGACACCAUUCAUCCUUUCGAAUGGCAUCAUGCUGUGCAGGGACGUCGGCCCGAGUUGGAUGAUAUCCUCCACGAUAUGGACCAGCAGAUGCACCAUAACGUCGAAACAUGCGGGCGGGAAGUACAUCUCAAGCUCGCAUAGUAUCACCACGAUCUCUUCCUGUAGCCUUCUGAAUUGCCUCACGCCAACCGACUUCCGAGAGAUGAUGUCGAAAAAGUUGCAUAGGCCAAAUAGCAUUUCACGGAUGUGCGCGUCCAUGAUCCCAUGGAUUGCAACUGGAAGUAUCUGCGUCAUCAGCACGUGACAGUCGUGAGACUUCAUCCCGCUGAACUUCUGCUUCGCUGAGUCUAGGUAUCUGCUUAUCUUCCCCGCGUAACCGUAAGGAAGUUUUACUCCUACGAGGCAGGUGAAAAACUGAUCGAUCUCCUCCUGACUUAGAGUGAAGCACGCGGGAGGGAAGUCAUUUCCGGUCUUCUUGGCCUUUUUGCCUUUGCGACGACUUUCCGUGUCCUGCUUCGCCUCAUCAUCAUCAUCAUUAGCGUGAAGCUCCUCCCUGAUGCCCAUUGAUUUCAAGUCUGCCCUUGCUUUCGGCCCAUCUUUGGUCCUCUCUAGCAUGUUGAGCAGGGUACCAAGCAGACUCUCGCACACGUUCUUCGUGAUAUGCAUGACAUCAAGGCUGUGAGGCACACGGUGGAUCUUCCAGUACGGCAAGUCCCAGAAAACAGACCUCGUUUUCCAUACCUUCAGCAGCGGCUCUGGCGCCUUUCGCUUCUUUCCCGGCUCUGGCGCCUUUUGCUUCUUUCCCGGUAGUGGGCAAUCUUUCCAAUUUUUCAACAGCUCGUCUAUUUCCUCGCCGCUCCUCGUACGCGGGCGUCUUCGGGGUUCGGUUUCACCAUCGAACAGAUCCUUGCGUUUCCUCCACGGGUCAUCGUCGCGAAGCCACCUUCGAUGUCCCAUGAACACGGUUUUCGAAGACCCGGGAUCUCUAUCUAGCUGGCGAUACGUUGUGUCAUCCAUGCACCUGACGCAUCCAGAAAAUCCGUGGACCACCUGCCCCGCGAGAUAUCCGUAACCGAGAUAGUCGUGCACCGUCGUGAGCAGUGCGGCUCUCAUAGGGAAAUAUUCUUUCUCUGCGGCGUCCCACGUAUUGGCUGGCGUUUUCCACAGCGUGUCUAGCUCCUUUUUCAGCAGCCCCAGAUACAGAUUGAUGUCGUUCCCUGGUUGUUUCGGCCCUUCAAUUAGCAUACUCAUGUGAAUGUACUUCCUCUUCAUGCACAACCAGGGGGAAGGUUGUACAUCCACACAAACACAGGCCAGGUGCUAUGUGUGCUUCUCUGGAUGCCAAACGGAUUGACUCCAUCGGUGCUCGCGCCCAGCACGAUGUUCCUUGGAUCCUUCCCAAAUUCUCGGUGUUCGAAGUUCAACGCUUGCCACUGGCUCCCAUCCUUAGGGUGACUCAGCAUCUUGUCUUUUUUAUUUAUCUCCGGAUCAUUUCCGUCAUCUUCUCGCUUCUUCUCCUCCCUAUCCGCGUGCCCACGCAGGAGCUUUGCUACCUUAGGGUCCGCGAAAUACCGCUGCAGACGAGGAGUGAUCGGAAAGUACCACACCACUUUUCGAGGAGCUUUCUUCCUCUUCUUGUAUCGAGUGACGCCGCACACCGGACAUAUGGUAGACUCCGCGUGCUCGUCCCGAUAAAUGAUGCAAUUGUUCAUGCACACAUGGUAUUUCACGUGCGGUAAAUCCAGAGGACACACGAUUUUCUUCGCCUCCUCGAAACUGGUCGGGCACUUGUUCCCCUUGGGAAGACGUUCGUGCCAGAAUGACAUGUUCUCGUCGAAGCAUGCGUCGGUCAUUUUGUGUUUUACCUUCAUCUCCAGAGCCAUGAGCGUUACUUUCAGGCGGGUAUCCUCGGGCCUGCAUCCUUCAUACAAUGGAGUAACCGCGUCUAUCUCCAGUUGAUCCAGCUUGGCUUUCUCUCGGGCGGCAGCUCUUGCGUUAUCCGUCUGCUUGAGAAGCAGCUCUUGAAUAUGAGGGUCCUGCACCCAGCCCAUCGAUGGUCCAUCGUCGUCUGCUCCGCCGGCAUCUUCAUCUUCAUGAUCAUGCCCUUCGUCUGCUCCGGCAUCUUCCUCAUCAUCAUGUCCGGCAUCUUUUACAUGAUGACUGUGUACAGCAUCACCGUCGUGAUCAUGUCCUGGAGAUUCUUCGUCUUCUCGCCCGCCCGAGCCGCGGUGGUUGUUUUGCUGCCCUUCCUCAUUUCUUGCCCAGCCCCCAUGGACGACUUCAUAGUCAUCUUCAUCACCUUGCCACCGAUAGCCAUCCAUGAAACCACGCAAGAGCAGGUGGUCCCGCACCUGCCCGGAAUCCGGGUCCGCAAUAAGGCUCUUCAGCUUGCAUCUUCGACACGGACAUCUUAUCUCCGUCUCGUUCUUUUCAAGUAUCUCGGCCUUCGCGGAGCUCAAAAACCUAUUCACGAUGCCUUCGGUCAUCGUGCGGACCAUGGUCGCCUGCGGGGUAGAGCAAAACGAUAUUUUAGAACCAAGAAAAAAUUUGGCAUGACUUUCCCUAAAAAUAGGACCAAAAAGAAUGCAUAGUGCCAAAAUUCUCGCCGAAACGGAAAUGAAUCAACAUUCCGGCAAAAUAUUGGCAACUAUCGCAUUUCAAAUACCGGUACCUGCAAACACAAACAUAUAUGCAACACCACAAACAUACAUAGAUCUAGCUAGGCCAUAAAAAGUGCAUGUGCAUGUUGUUGGAGGGAGAACAACAUAAAGAUAGCUUCCCCUUACUUACCUAUCAAAAAAAGGUAAUUUAACCACUUAAUUUGGAUGAAUUUAUGCUGCAAAUGAGGUGAGGAGGAGGAGGCAGCCGAGACAAGCUUGGAGGAGGAGGUGAAGAGAAUGAAGUGGGGAAAGUGAGUGGGUAGUGUGGCUGUCCAAAAUAUCUAGCUCGUCCCAGGUUACUAAUGGCGCACCACCAACAAAUGCGCCAUUAGUAACCCUGGUUACUAAUGGUGCACCUGCUGGUGGUGCGCCAUUAGUAGUUUUGCAAAAAAAACACUAAUGGCGCACCAGGGAACAGUGCGCCAUUACUAGUUUAAACUAGUAAUGGCGCACUGACCCCUGGUGCGCCAUUAGUAGUUUUGCAAAAAAUAAAAAAUAAAAAAAAUAUAGUAGUGGCGCAUUAUGAGGCUGGUGCGCCAUUACUAGUUAGAACUAGUAAUGACGCACUGUGCCCUGGUGCGCCAUUAGUAUAUUUGAAAAAAUAAAAUAAAAUAAUUGUUACUAAUGGCGCACCGUGUGCCUGUUGCGCCAUUAGUGUCUUUCACACUAAUGGCGCACCAGCCCGUGGUGCGCCACUGCUAUAUAGUAGUGGCGCACCACAUGUCUGGUGCGCCAUUAGUGGCCAUUCCAUCUAUAGCCCUUUUCCUAGUAGUGUCAUAUAGAUGUAAAUAUUUCAGCAAGACAUGGUAUAUAGUGAACCAAGUCUAGCUCAAGUGGUUAAGUUUUUUGUGGUGGAACCAGCCCACCAGGGUUCAGUCUUUCUGACAAUGUUCUUUCAGUGGGAGCGGACGUUCUCCUCGAGUAUGAAUUCGCCUAUGGUACUUAUAAGGAUAGGGUGUGCGUACAUGCAUUCAUAGGUUAUGAGCGUCCGCACGGACGACACCAAUGCUGAGGUGGACAUCAAUAGAAGCUCGCCGAUGGUGGAGUCGCAUCGCGUCCCAGAGGAAGGACCAUCGGUGUAUCACGGAGGAAAGAACAUAUGAGUUGCACAGCGUGAUGUGUCAGCGCGCGAACGCGAAGACCCAGGCCUUCGACGACUUGAUUGCGGAUAGAAACAUGAGUUCGUUCUGCGGAGCAGCAACCCACGAGAUGGUGCCAGGAGCACAUGGACAACCGAGUUGAUCAAGAUCUUACGUUAGAUUGAUCCGACGGUUGAGUGGCACAAAACGCUGUGGAGGCUUGUAGGUAGGUGAGUCUUGAUGUUUUUUUAUUGUGCCCAACAAGGAUGAAUAGAGCAUGUAUUGCCGUCUUCAGUUUACCAUCUCAUGCACACCAAAUAGAAGAUCCUAGAACUCAUGGUAGAGCAUAAACAAAGGUCACACGUCAAGCAACAUCAUCAAAUUGGGAGCCACAUCAAUAGAACGUGAGUGAGAGCAUCUCCAAGUAGACUGGGCUAAUUGACAACCCCCUGGUGCACAUAUGUCCGGACGUCUUGGCACACAACAGUGUCCCUCAACUUAUCCCUAAAUUUUCCGUACACAUGCAUAUCAUUCGUGAGGAUGGUCCAGGGUCCCAUAAAAGGGAGGAAAGAGAGGGAAAAAGAGAGAUAAAGUGGUCCGGGUGGGCGGGUCCAACGUGGCGGAUUGUCCAAACACGUCCAGAUCCCCAUUUCCUCCAUCAUAUGGGCAAAUGGGCUGGGUUUGGGGGGUCCAGUAGGAGAGGUGUUUUUCUAUCUAAACGUGUCCGCAGUGUACCCGAACAUAUGGGGAGGAUUUGGGGGCCUCGGCUUGAGAUGCUCUUAAGGCCUUUAAAAGACAAUGUGCCAGUAGCUGCACCUAGAGUUGGGCAAGCAAACCCAAUGAUGCCUCGUGAUGGUCCCACUCUGAACUCCAAAACCAUAGAGACUCCGAGUUAACGAACUUCAUGCUUGUGGCCUUCCUAUGCUUCUACUUUUGCUUGUGUGCUUUAAAAGCUUGAGAACUUGUGCUUGUGUUGUUGAGAACGUGUUAUUGUUAUGUAUAUUGUGGAUGGUGAUUUAUGUCGAGUACACUUUACCAAGAGCAAAACUUCGCAAAGCUUGUGGAGUUUUAACUGGUUUUACCACGUUUUUUGGGCACUCGGCAAUUAUACAGAUUCUAGUAGUGAGUAAAACUGUCAGUUGCUGCAGAAGGAGAUUACUAAAAUAGAAGCUGGUAAACUAAAACCUUGCUGAACUGGAGGACCGUUUCGGUUAUUGCUUAAGUUCUUGAAGAGAUAUAGAGAUUGCAUAGUAUUCUAACAUUGUAGUGAUGACGUUCAUCACCUCACAUUUAUCAAACAAAAGUGAGAACUCCUUGUUGGUGACACCGCGAUCAAUUCUUCAUGGCAAGCUAAGUUGCACGGAUACGGCGAUACGGAUACAGACACCACGAUACGUCAAUUCUUCAAAAGCGCACAUACGAUGAUACAUUUGUAUAUGUAUAAUAAAUACUAAAGCUAUAUAGAAAAUGGUGAUUAUAUGAAAAUAUGACAAUUUAAGAACACUGACAAGGUGAUAGAACACAUGGAAAAUGCACCAUAAAUAUAAUCCUGAUUCUCUUGACCAGUUGAACUUCAAUUUGAAGCUGCCGAAGAGUAGGAUCAGCCACGUUUGGGCCGGGAUGAGAAAUAAUGAGGCGAGAAAAAGGAGGGGGUUGUCGUGGACUCGUGGGUUUGGAUAUAUAGGUUUCCUUGUGUCCACGGAGCACACGGAUAUCCCCAAAGUAUCUUAAUUAAUAAAUUUAUUUGUAUGAACAAUAGAAAAUUGGUUGAUAUGUUUCGAGUAGUACCUGAAUGCAUCCGAGUGUCCGAGUAUCUGAUAUGUUGAUACACCUGAUAUGGCAAUUUCCAAAAGUAUCUAGGUAACGGAAGAUGCUAUUCCGCGCGCGCGCUGGAACGAUCGGUUUCGGGCAGGAACUAAACUUUCCUUCCUUAGUCUAGCGAACAGAGGNNNNNNNNNNNNNNNNNNNNNNNNNNNNNNNNNNNNNNNNNNNNNNNNNNNNNNNNNNNNNNNNNNNNNNNNNNNNNNNNNNNNNNNNNNNNNNNNNNNNNNNNNNNNNNNNNNNNNNNNNNNNNNNNNNNNNNNNNNNNNNNNNNNNNNNNNNNNNNNNNNNNNNNNNNNNNNNNNNNNNNNNNNNNNNNNNNNNNNNNNNNNNNNNNNNNNNNNNNNNNNNNNNNNNNNNNNNNNNNNNNNNNNNNNNNNNNNNNNNNNNNNNNNNNNNNNNNNNNNNNNNNNNNNNNNNNNNNNNNNNNNNNNNNNNNNNNNNNNNNNNNNNNNNNNNNNNNNNNNNNNNNNNNNNNNNNNNNNNNNNNNNNNNNNNNNNNNNNNNNNNNNNNNNNNNNNNGCUGGCCCCAUCACCUGAAAUCACGGGGGCAGUGUUUUGAUGGUGCGCGCACACUUGGUGGGGCCCCUGCCCUUUUAACAGCGCCCAGUAGAUCGAUCGUUGCAACGCGCGAUCGCGAAAGAGUCGGUUGAUAUGUUUCGAGUAGUACCUGAAUGCAUCCGAGUGUCCGAGUAUCUGAUAUGUUGAUACACCUGAUAUGGCAAUUUCCAAAAGUAUCUAGGUAAAAUAGACAACAAGGUUUGCCAUAAAAAAAGGUUACACACCAAAAGGAACAUCAUCUGGUUGGGGGAUAACCACAUCAAUGGAAUGUGAGUUAAAGCCUUUCAAAGACACUGAGACCGGCUGCAAUCAGAAAAGCGCCAAACCUUCAUUGAGGCCGACACAACUAACAACAAAAGAACUCAAGUUUUUUUCCCUCACGUCGCCUCCCUCUAGGUGACGCCAGGGGGCCCCGAACCCUAGCGCCGCAGGCCUCCUCUCGCGCCUCCCUCUGCCGCCACUGCCGCUGGCGAGGGCCGCGAUGGCGGCGGGCCCGACGCCGAAGGCACCUGGGCGGGUGGAUGCGGCGAGAUCUCAUCUGAGGCGGCAGGGGCGGCCCUUCUCGUGGGAGCCGAAGGCAGCGACUGGGGCGGCGAUCCCUUGCCGUGCGGCGGUGGCCGAAGCGCCAUAAGCUGGCGGAGCGGCGGCCCUGAGAUGGACGGCGGCGGUCGCGGUGCCCCAUCCGACGAGGUGCCUGAUCCGCGCGGAGAUGGUGGCGGCGACGACUGCGGAUCCAACGCCCCGAUCGGAUCCGCCGCAAGGUGGCCUUCCGCCGACCCGCGGUGCGUGGAGCGACCGGUGAGGAGAUGUCGGAUCUCCGUCGGUUUACGGACGGCAGCGUUCGUCUUGGUGGCGAGACUCCGCUCGGUUCCAGCCAACCGCGAAAUUGGGACGACGUGGCUUUCGGUGAAAAUCGCGCCCGACUGCGGUCAUGGCGGACGAUGGUGGCGUCUCAGACGUCGUUCCCUUCUCGAGGCAUCGUCGUUGGAGGUCAUGUCAACCUGAUCGGAAGGUUCCGGGGGAAACUCUAGAUCUGGGUCUACCGGAUCGGAGGAUGGCGACGUUUCGAUGUCGUUCUCCCUCCUGGGGGCAUCGUUUUGGAGCAAGUGUUGGCUGGACGGGACAAGAGGAGGAGCGGCGUUGUAUCUGACACGUCGACAACGGCGGGUCUCAGUGGCAUGGAGCAGUGGAGUCUCGCCGGUGGGCGGGUGAUGAUGGACGAGCGCAGGAUGGUGGCGUUGUCUGGCGUCGUGGUGGCGUCGACGGUAGCUAGACCGGGCAAGGUACAUGCAGCAAUACAGCACUAAAGAUGGAUUGGUGGCUGGUGGCUGCGGUGGCUUCAUACCCGGCAGGCGUCCUGGUUGAGGAGUGCACCGGACUGGUGGGUGCCCCAUACCCGGCAGGCGUCCUGGUUGGGACCUCGGGUCUUAGAUGUUGGGUUUGGCUGCGAGGUCUGUUUGGUAUUAGGCCCAGAUGUUGCCUAGAUGGUGGCUUUAGUCUUACUUUUAUAUGACUUUAUAAGGUCUUGUGUGAAUAAUUAAUAAAGUGGUUGCAUGCAUCGUCCAGAUACAGAGGCCGGAGGUCCUCCUCCAUUUCUAAGAAAAAAAGGUUUUUUUUUCGAGAAGGACAAAAAAGUCAAGUAACCCAACCACCACAUGAAAUUCGAACCAAUAUCUUUGUUGUAGAAAGGAAUAUGAAGGAGGGGUGCUACAUCUUCAGUAAGCAGCGAAGCUCUCUCACUGUCGAGUCCGACCUCAUUGCGUCUGUGCCAGAUCCAUCGUCGCCGGAUCCGGCGAUCAAUCUCGGAUAGUUCUUUGCAUCUUGUUGGAGUCAAUGUUAUUCUCCUCCUCAUCUUGCAUCACUGCUUGGGAGGCAUUGUUAUUUGCCGUCAGGGUCCAAGCAAGCUGAUUCGAUGGCAUAUCAGAAAUUCAGAACCCACGCCGGCGGCAAUAUCCAUGGAUUUCUAUUGUUUGCGUUUACGGUCAACAUUGAUCUCCACUCAUUUUGGUCGGGGAAGAGUUCUUUUCAUGCCCCCUCCAUAGGAUCACAUCCAUGUUCCCUAGACGCGUGUCCCCUACCGCCAUGCUUGUACGGGGAGGUGGCCUCGCCAUGCAUAUCAGACCCUCCACGGCCACAUCUAGCAGUGUUCUGAGCUUGUGAAGCCCUGAUGUGUGAGUUCCCUGAUGCGUUUUCAUCGGAGUCAAAGCCCUUAGAAGAGGAUGCCGCACACAGUUUCACCGCCCAAUAGACAGAACACUCCAAGUGCAAGUCACAAAAACUAACAUCACCCAUAUGGUUACCCGAAAGAUUCGCGAGGUGUGUGCAUGUCUCAUUGAGCGAAUCAUAGACUUGUAGCAUCGGACUUGCUUUGUCAUUAACUAAGCAAUAGCACAUUAGCUUUGCACCAUGAUGUUGGAAUUUGCUAGUGGGCUUUUGGCCCAAAGCCCAACUAAAAUUCUGAAAUUCUUUUGGCCCAUUCAUGCACACAUGUGAGUGGAGUGAGUGAGGCUAAAGUUUAGUCCCAACUCAUAAGUUGAGAGAGAGCUGCACCUUUUUAUAAGGUGAGCUCUUCUACCACUUGUAUGAGCAUGAGAAGAGGAGACCUACACGCGUGCUCCUCCUCGCUCGCCAUGCCUCGCCUCGCCACGGCACGACGCGCCGCGGGUUGCGGGAUUGAGCCGAGCCGAGGACAGAGCUUCGUAUGGUUUCUCACCACCGUUCCAGAUCAUUGCGCCGCCAAGCAAGACAGCAGGCCUCCGGAACCCCGCCUCUCGUGAUCCUGUACGGGAGAGGGGCGAUCAGGUUUUUGGGGAACGCACUCGCGCGACUGCUGGCAGCGACGACUUCGCGAACGACGACUUCUUCCCCGACCUCGGCAACCUCAUCCUCGACGACAUGGGCGACAACGUCAACGCCGGCGGUGCUGCUCCCGCUGCACCGUAUGUGAUUCUAUCCUUCCUGUUCGAGAUCGUGGUAGAAUUCAUGUUUUCUAGUAUGUGAUCUGUUCAUCUACUAUGCUGUCAUGAUCUAUUUCCUAUUUAUUCGGAUUAAAUCUCGUAGUAAUUUGCUCAUAUUUUCCAACAAUCCAAAAACCUGAUCAUAGGUAAUUUACUCCGAGUGGUUUUGCUGCGCAUCUGAAGCCGCCUGCCUUUAAGGGGGCGCAAUAUAAGAGGUGGCGCACGAGAGCAGUCUACUGGUUUCAGACCAUGGGCUGCUAUGACGCCACCAAGGGGAAGCCUGAGGGCGAUCUUAAUCCAGCACAACUGGAAGCUUUUGAGAAGAUCGAUACUCUCUUUAAAGGCGCUCUUCUGAGUGUUCUUGAUGACUCCAUUAUGGAUUCAUAUAUGUCGUUUGACAACGGCAAGGACAUGUGGGCUGCGCUCGAGGCCAAGUUUGGUGCCUCGGACGCCGGCAGCGAGUUGUACGUCAUGGAGCAAUUCUAUGACUACAAGAUGACUGAUGAGCGCUCUGUUGUACAGCAGGCUCAUGAGAUACAGUCGCUCGCAAAAGAACUUGAGUACUUCAAGUGUGUGUUGCCGGACAAAUUUGUUGCCGGAGGCAUCAUUGCCAAGCUUCCACCUUCGUGGAACAAUUUUGCUACUUCCCUGAAACACAAGAGACAGGAGUUUUCCGUUGCGGAUCUCAUUGGUACUCUUGAUGUUGAAGAGAAGGCGAGAGCAAAGGACACACGUGCUCGAGUUGCUGAGGGAGCUUCUAGUGCCCACAUGGUACAGAAGAACUUCCCGCCCAACAAGUUCAAAAAUAACAAGAACAAAACUCAGGGCAAAGGCAAGUUUGAUACAAAGAACAAGCCGUCACAUUCUACCAACUUCAAGAAGAAUUCUCAUAAGAAGGGGAAGGGACUUUGCCAUGUCUGCGGUGAUCCUAAUCACUGGGCUCCGAAGUGUCCUAACCGCUUUGAGGAGCGCGAACAUGAGAAGAGCGGCAAGUCCGCUAAUGUUGUCAUCGGUGAUACUGAUAUGAAGGAUUCUGGGUACGGUAUUCUUCCUACCAUCCUUUCAGUAUUUCAAUCUCCUGAUUGGUUAAUUGACACCGGUGCCAAUGUACAUGUUUGUGCUGAUGCCUCCAUGUUUUCCUCUUACCAGGUCACAGGGACUUCUCCCGUGCUGAUGGGGAACGGGUCACAUGCCAUCGUUCGAGGUGUUGGUACGGUCGAUCUGAAGUUUACUUCGGGGAAGACCGUGCGUCUGAAGAACGUUCAUCAUGUGUCGUCCAUCAAUAAAAAUCUCGUUAGCGGUUCCCGUUUAUGUCGAGAUGGUUUUAACUUGGUUUUGGAAUCCAAUAAAGUUGUAAUUUCUAAGUGUGGACAAUUUGUUGGAAAAGGCUAUGAGUGCGGAGGCUUGUUCCGCCUAUCCUUAUCAGAUAUUUGCACUAAAGUUAUUAAUAAUGUUUGAAAAAAUAAUGAGUCUGAUAUUUGGCAUUCACGACUUUGUCAUAUUAACUUUGGUUGCAUGACGCGGCUAGCCAAUAUGAAUUUAAUUCCAAAAAUCUCUACUGUCAAAGGCUCCAAGUGCCAAGUAUGUGUGCAAGCUAAGCAACCUCGCAAGUCCCAUAAGACUGCUGAGGCAAGAGACUUGGCGCCACUAGAGCUUAUACAUUCUGAUCUUUGUGAGAUGAAUGGCGUGUUGACAAAAGGUGGAAAGAGAUACUUCAUGACGUUGAUUGAUGACUCCACUAGAUAUUGUUAUGUGUAUCUUCUGAAAUCAAAGAUGAGGCUUUAACUUUUUUCAAAAACUAUAAAGCUGAGGCAGAGAACCAACUUGAUCGAAAAAUUAAACGGCUUAGGUUCGAUCGUGGUGGAGAGUAUUUUUCCAAUGAAUUUGAUUUGUUUUGUGCGAAACAUGGUAUAAUCCAUGAGAGGACGCCUCCCUACUCACCUCAGUCAAAUGGGGUAGUCGAAAGAAAAAACCGAACUCUAACUGAUAUGGUUAACACCAUGUUAGACACAUCGGGUCUUUCCAAGGAAUGGUGGGGGGAGGCGCUAAUGACUGUGUGUCAUAUCCUAAACCGAGUUCCCACAAAGCAUAAGACCAUGACUCCUUUUGAGGAAUGGAAAAGGAAAAGAUUGAACCUCUCUUACCUACAUACUUGGGGUUGUUUGGCGAAAGUCAAUAUACCAAUUCCCAAGAAGCGCAAGCUUGGACCGAAAACCGUGGAUUGUGUUCUUCUGGGCUAUGCUUUUCAUAGCAUUGGCUAUAGAUUUUGAUAAUAAAAUCUGAGGUAUCCGACAUGCAUGUUGGUACGAUUAUGGAGUCGAAUGAUGCAACUUUCUUUGAGGACAUAUUUCCUAUGAAGGAUAUGUCGAGUUCAUCAAAUCAGGAGAUACCUACUCCAUCUAGUGAGGAACUCACUGUAAUUCCUGAACCCACCAUUGCGAUGGAACACGUUGAGAAUCCUGUUGAGGGUGACAAUGAAACUCCUGUAAGGAGUAAGAGACAGAGGACUGCAAAGUCCUUUGGUGAUGAUUUCAUUGUGUACCUUGUGUAUGACACACCCAGGACUAUUUCAGAAGCAUAUGCAUCUCCUGAUGCUGACUACUGGAAGGAAGCUGUUCGUAGCGAGAUGGAUUCCAUCUUAGCUAACGGAACCUGGGAGAUCACUGACCGUCCUUAUGGGUGCAAACCUGUUGGAUGUAAGUGGGUGUUCAAGAAGAAGCUUAGACCUGAUGGUACGAUUGAAAAGUACAAGGCACGGCUUGUGGCUAAGGGUUAUACCCAGAAAGAAGGUGAAGACUUCUUUGAUACUUACUCACCCGUGGCUAGACUGACCACAAUUCGGGUGCUACUAUCACUGGCUGCCUCACAUGGUCUUCUUGUUCAUCAAAUGGACGUUAAGACGGCUUUCCUCAAUGAAGAGUUGAAGGAGGAAAUUUACAUGGAUCAGCUAGAUGGUUUUGUUGUACCUGGUCAGGAAGGAAAGGUGUGCAAGUUAUUAAAGUCUUUAUAUGGCCUUAAACAAGCUCCUAAGGAGUGGCAUGAGAAGUUCGAAAAAACAUUAACUGCUGUCGGCUUUGUAGUAAACGAUGGUGACAAGUGUGUGUACUAUCGCCAUGGUGGGGCGAAGGAGUUAUUCUUUGUUUGUAUGUCGACGACAUACUAAUCUUUGGAACCAAACUUGAUUUGAUCAAGGAGGUUAAGGAUUUCUUAUCUCGCUGUUUUGAGAUGAAGGAUCUAGGAGUAGCUGAUGUUAUCUUAAAUAUCAAGCUGUUGAGAGAUGAGAAUGGUGGGAUCACACUGCUUCAGUCUCACUAUGUGGAAAAGAUCUUGAGUCGUUUUGGGUAUAGCGACUGCACGCCUUCUCCAACUCCAUAUGAUGCUAGUGUGUUGCUUCGAAAGAAUCGACGGAUUGCUAGAGAUCAACUGAGAUAUUCUCAGAUUAUUGGCUCGCUUAUGUAUUUGGCGAGUGCCACGAGGCCUGACAUCUCUUUUGCUGUGAGCAAGCUGAGUCGGUUUGUGUCAAAACCGGGAGAUGAUCAUUGGCAUGCGCUUGAGAGAGUUAUGCGCUACUUGAAAGGCACUGCGAGCUAUGGGAUUCACUACACCGGGUAUCCAAGGGUACUAGAGGAUUAUAGUGACUCAAACUGGAUAUCUGAUGCUGAUGAGAUUAAGGCCACAAGUGGUUAUGUUUUUACACUUGGUGGUGGCGCUGUUUCCUGGAAGUCUUGCAAGCAGACCAUCUUAACGAGGUCAACUAUGAAAGCAGAACUCACAGCAUUAGACACUGCCACUGUUGAAGCAGAGUGGCUUCGUGAGCUCUUGAUGGACUUACCUAUGGUUGAAAAACCAAUACCCCCUAUCCUGAUGAAUUGUGAUAAUCAAACUGUGAUCGUCAAGAUAAACAGUUCUAAGGACAAUAUGAAGUCCUCAAAGCAUGUGAAGAGGAGACUAAAAUCUGUCAGAAAAGUGAGGAACUCCGGAGUUAUUACGUUGGAUUAUAUCCAAACGUCGAAAAACUUGACAGAUCCCUUCACAAAGGGUCUAUCACGUAACGUGAUAGAUAAUGCAUCGAUGGAGAUGGGCUUGAGACCCACCGCAUGAGUUGUCCAUAGUGGUAACCCACUCUAUGUGAUCGGAGAUCCCGUGAAGUAGAAGUGGGAGACAAGCUGUUGGUCAGCUGAAAGGAGAGUAUUCCUAUUUUAAUUGUCCCACUCCGUGAAGAUGCAAUACUCUCCUGAUCUGCAUGGCAGGUUGAUAUUUAUCUUAAUGUGUUCCAAGUGGCUUAUUUGAGUAAGCAGAGAUGUUGUCCUGCAGAGCAUCUCCUGAGGAACACACCUAUAUGAAUUCGACUGUUAACGUCGUAGUCUGUGAGAAUUGGGUGUUCUCUAAUAAAUUCAUGAAAGGCCCUGGAGUAUGACGUAUACGCUCCACCCGCGGGGAAGCUUGCGGCAGCCCAGUAUCGGUCAAGAAUUUGUGUGAAACUAGUCUCGCAGAAAACUUGUAGUUCAAGGCAUAGUCCACUAUUCAAGUUGUGAUAUAGUAUAGCAUAAAAAUCUAAGUGGAAGUUCAACUUCAUAGUCUUCACUAAGCACCGGUAUAUAAACAAUGUUUUGGAACCAAAUGUUGAAAUGUGCCAAUGAGACUUUGUGGAGGAUUGUUGGAAUUUGCUAGUGGGCUUUUGGCCCAAAGCCCAACUAAAAUUCUGAAAUUCUCUUGGCUCAUUCAUGCACACAUGUGAGUGGAGUGAGUGAGGCUAAAGUUUAGUCCCACGGUCCCACCUCAUAAGUUGAGAGAGAGCUACACCUCUUUAUAAAGUGAGCUCUUCUACCACUUGUAUGAGCAUGAGAAGAGGAGACCUACACGCGCGCUCCUCUCCUCACUCGCCUCGCCUCGCCUCGUCACGACGCGCCGCGGGUUGCGGGAUUGAGCCGAGCCGAGGACAGAGCUAUGCACGUUGUCUAUUCUUUUGGAUCGUGGCGACUCGGGCGUGGGGUUUACUCCCACGACCUACCCGGCCCGCACUAUAUAGUCAGGCAGACGUCUACCGCAGCCGCCGCUUCGUAUGGUUUCUCACCACCGUUCCAGAUCAUUGCGCCGCCAAGUAAGUCUUCUCCAUCCCUCCUUCUGGCAUGCACCGGGAGAAGGGACAGCAGGCCACCGGAACCCCGCCUCUCAUGAUCCUGUACGGGAGAGGGGCGGUCAGAUUUUUGGGGAGCGCACUCGCGCGACUGCUGGCAGCGAUGAUUUCGCGAACGACGACUUCUUCCCCGACCUCGGCAACCUCAUCCUCGACGACAUGGGCGACAACGUCAACGCCGGCGGUGCUGCUCCCGCUACAUCGUAUGUGAUUCUAUCCUUCCUGUUCGAGAUCGUGGUAGAAUUCAUGCUUCUAGUAUGUGCCCUAGAUGUAAUCUGUUCAUCUACUAUGCUAGUUCGCAUGAUUAGUUUAAUCUCUAUUAUUGCUGUCAUGAUCUAUUUCCUAUUUAUUCGGAUUAAAUCUCGUAGUAAUUUGCUCAUAUUUCCAACACGUGAUGCAUCACCCUGAAAGGGAUCACUAGAUCAAUGGUUUGAGCCAUCGGGAUCACAUACGCCUCGACCCAGGUGCCCUCGGCCAAAUCAGACAGAAGCCAUACGGUCGUGCAGGCAAGUAUGGUCCCACUUCCCUCCGAGUGAACCAUGCAAAGGGUGCCAUUGAGCUCGACCAUGCGGGUCUCCGAGUUGUGCUUUAGUAGCCUCACUGGGGCUUUGAUGGACCUCUUCCAUUGCUCGCUCUCGAGGUCGAGGCAGAUGACAUGGUCCUCCUCCACCUGGGGUACCGGCACCAACCCGUUAAGGAUGCACAUCACACCAUCCAACGUGUAAAGGAAGUAUAUCACACCAUCUAUCGUGACCACAGAGUUCUGGCGAUAGCCGACAUGGUCUGCAAUUGGGGGUGACUGCAUCCGCCUCCAAUCCUCCAUCUUCUGGCGCCGUCUUCCAACGUGAGAACCUAUCUUUUCUUUUCUUUUCUGAGGUAAUUCCGACGUGAGAACAUCGUAGAAAAUAUAUUCAGGAUGACUACAUCGGCGUCCAAUCCUCCAUCUUCUAUUGCUCAUGCGGCGGACCACCUUGAGCUUGCCCGACGGGGCGGCGUAGCCGAUACCAAAGGAAGUGUAGAACGCUCCGCCGUCGCCCAUCUCCGUGGAGGUCAUGAGCACUUUCCCGGUGGCCAGAUCGAUCACGUUCAGGACGCGGCCGUCGCGGGUGGCGCAGACGGGGCCGCCAGGGCCGGAGGUGAUGGUCCAGAGGUCGCCCAAGCCCUUGAUCACCCUCGCGACGCUGCCGUCCGUCUCCAGCAGCCGCAGGUCGCGGAGCUCUCCGCUGGCUACGCCAUGGAAGGAAUUGGCGACGAUGAGGAGCUGCGGCUCAGUUCGGGCCUUGUGCGCCGCGACGAACGCGGGGUCGGAGAUGAGUGAAGUCUAAUUUAAACUUGACUUUGUAGAGCUUGUCCAAAACAAACCCUCACCUCAAAAUCCCGAAAGGUUGUACCCUGUUUUUUCUAAUCCCGAUGUUUUUAACCUUGUUGCCUUUCAAAGGGAGGAUUUGGUGACGUGGCAAGGAAAGGCCUGGUUUGCUGACUAAAUUGAGUUUGAGGACACGCAUGCAUGAAUUGUUUUUCAUUUGCAUGGAUCGAUGGAUGUGUGUAAAUGCGGAUGGUGACCCAGGCCGUUCGCUCGCUCGAGCGUCGCCGCCGUUGCCAUCUCGAAUCCAAGUGCAAGACAGCAGGUCGUGUCGUCAGGAACCGCAUGGUGGUGCGCUGACCUUAGCCUGGCUGGUUCAUGCUGCGGCAGAGGGUUCCAGAGAUGUGGUGCAUUGAGCUGGUUGUUGGUAGAGGCAAGGUGCAAUGGGAGCAUGAGACGAGGGACGAGCAAGGGUCCGAGCUCUUGCUCUCGCGCUCUGCCAUCUUUGAACAGGGAAACGUCGUGCUUGAGGUUGAAAAGAAGGAGCUAACGGCGCCGCACAUGGUCGCCAGAGGCACCAGACUCGACGUCGUCGGCGCCGCCGUGCGACCAUGCUCACCGCUCGCGUGAAGACGUCUGCCAUUCAUGACGUUGGACGCCAACCACCUAUGCAGCACCAUGACAGUCGUCUUCUCCAUGUGCAGGCUACAAUACACCGCAUGAUUUUCCGGCAGGAUCCCGCCCGGCGAGCUCGGCCGUCUCGAGCUGUCGCGCGUCUACCUGCAACCGCGUCGUGUCGUCACAACCUGCCUUCACCGGUCACCGGUGCAUGGACGUCAGCUCCCCCAUCCGUGAGCGCACGAAGUGGCCACAUCGCUGCAUCGUCUUCUCCCGACGAUGCCUUUGUGCGUGCGCUGAACAGGCAGGAACACCGUGGACAUGGACGCCGCCGGCUUCCAUCUCUGCAGAAAGCGUCGUGCCAUGGUCGUCACCGGGGCGGGGAGCGAACACACUGCCUUUUUUGUGUGCUUGUGUGUACUUUGUGGAUAAUAUAUAGUCUUAUACAGUAUACGUAUAUGUUAAUUCAACAAGACAACCUCUUCGUACAGCUGGUUACUAGCUGCCCGAACGUACUUAGAUGUCUGUGUUGUGUCACUGUGCUAUUUCUUUCUCUCACUGCCAAGUGGGCUCCACACAAAAUGUCUUGCCUACCUCAUCCAUCCCGGCCUUUCCCGGUGUCAUGUUGAAAUUUCCUGUUUGGAUACAGCUUCAAGGUUUAAAGCGACCGGGAUUGCAAAAGACAGGGUAUAGACUUCAGGGAUUUAAUGGUGGAGGUUUAUUUUAGAUGCUCUACAACGUCAAGGUUUAAAUCAAACUUCACUCGUCGAAGAUGAGCGCACGCCACUCCCUGGACACGCACAGGAACCGGCACGCCGAUUUCACCGGCGUCCAGGAGAGUAUCUCGGAGACGACGUCGUUCGGUAGCGAUGUCAGCAUGGUCGAUCGGUGGCCGGACAGAACCACCCGCGAGUCGUUGCGACGAUCGCUCGUGUAGCUAGGGUUUUUUUUUUCCCGUGGUGUAGGUGUAGCUAGGUAUUUAAUCAAGCUGAUCGAGCGCACACAUAGACCACCAAAAGCAUUCAAAUCGUAUUGGCAUGUACGAUCGUAUUGUAUACGGAAAGGGAAACGUUUCCCUACGGUACGCCGGCCGAGCGAUUCGGCCGGUCGUGUGCGAGCCGGGGCGCGUGAAAUCGGAUCGUGCUGGAUCCUUUUAUGCAGGGGGUGCCACGACCACGGCCCACGUGGGCUGGCUGGCCCACGCCCGUGUCCCGCUAGCCUUAUCCUCUCACGCCGGUGUCUCUGCUUUCUCCGUCUCUCGAUCCCAUCUUUUCUUUUUGCUUCAUGACAACGGUGAGCCGCGGCGACCUCGGUGAUGUGCGACAGAGGCGAGGCGAUGUGCGAUGGGGGAGCCACCACGCAUCUGGUUGCAGCCGCAGCUCUGGCGAGCUCCGCCAUGGCCAUUGACGCCGCGUGCUGGAACCAACGCCCACCCAUGCUGGAACCAACCACCGUGGUUGCUGGAACCGGCAUCAAUUUUUGCUACAACCGCUGAGUUUUUUUUGCUGGAACCGGCAUCCCGUACAGACUCUUCUCGUCCACUCAUUCAUCCCCUUUCUCAUCCCCUACCUUCAGCGAGCGGCCAAAGCAAGCCCCCGAAGAAUCACCUCCGCUUCCUCCUGCAGAACCCUGCAUCUCCGGUGCCUUGCAACUCCGGUGACCCUCGACUGGACGGUGGCGGAGGCAUUGCAGAACCUGCUGCACGCGCUUAUGCUACAACCGUUAACCAAAAAGCUUCAAACGAGAUGAAAAAAGCUUCAACCAGAUAUAUGAAAAGCUGCAAGCAGUCAUUGCCAUGGCGGAAUGCUACAACCGUUGACAUAAAAUGCUACAACCCUUGAUGAAAAAAGUUUCAACCGAAACGAUAGAGAAAGCAUUAACUAAGACUGCUACAAAGAAAAAUAGCUGCAACCGUUGAUAGAAAAGUUUCGACCGUAGAUGAAAAAAGCUACAACCCUUGAAAGAGAAAGCUACAACCAUACACUGCAUAAUCAGAAAAGUUGCAUCCAUUGUAGAGAAAGCUUCAAUCGUACGUGCGAAAAGCUUCAACCGACGUGCGUUGCCACCGGAGCUGCAAUCACAGUUGAUGGCCUGGUAGCCAUAGUCGACGCAAUUUCGUGCAGCGAUGAGCAUCAACGGUGAGCCGCGGCGGCGGAGCUACAACCGGGGAGAGCUACAAGCGUCGCCGCUGCAACCUGCAACCGCAGAUGUAGUUGUUUCAUGCGUCGCGGCGACGAUGAGGACGAGCGGCGAGGGUCGGAAGCGGCGGCGAGGGUGGGGACCAUCAACGGGGAUGGUCGGCGAGGGUGUGGACCGGCAACAAGAACGGCUACCGGAAGGGAUAGAAGGCGCGGCGCCGCGCAGCCCGAGCGAGGGGAUCGAGCCCGAGGAAGAAGAAGCUGGGGCGAUUUUUUUUGCUCCAGAUCCAACUGAUGUGUGGCUCGCAUCAGGCGGCUAGGGCUGGACCGGCCGAAGUUUUCGGCCGGUGCGCCGGCGCCUAGCGGUGCCCAUACGGAAACUAUAAUCCCACUACUGGUUUUGGCACAAUUUGGAAAGGUAUUUGAAGGUAAAGCUCACAUAUUGAAAACCAAACUUAUUUCUCGCUUAUAGUAGACCUAGCAUGUUCUCCACGAGAGCUAUGUCUCACAUUAAGCUUAAGCAAGACUGAAGGUUAUCUCUCGUCGAGCGAGAAUAGUAUCGGGCCCGCACAAACUUUAAAACCAGGAAGAAAUGGGGGGCGCCGAGGGAUCAAUCCCUGGUCUCCCGGCUGACCACGCGUGCUGGUAGCCACUCGGCUCGCCAAUUGUUUUGUGAUUAGCUAAUUCGGUGCGGCAUAAUUUAGGCGAAACGAGCUGUUUUUUCACUGGGUUUUCCCAGGCUUUUCUAUUUUCCAUGCUUUUUCAUCGGUUUUCUUUCUUUCCCGGUUAUAUUGUUUUUAUUUGUUUAUUUUCUCAUUUGCAUUAGCUUUUUUUGCUUUUCUUUCUUUCUUCCAUUUUUAUUAAUUUCUUUCCUGGUGUUCAUCAGUUUUCAUUUGUUUUGCAUUUGUUCCUUCUUUUUUAUUUUAUUUUGUUUCUUCUUUUUUAAAAUUUUUUGUUCUCUUUUGUCUACAUUUUUGUAUAUGUCAACAACAUUUUACGAAUACACAUUUAACACUUUUCUAAAUAAAUUUAACUUUUUUAAUACAUGGACAACAUUUUUCUCUAAUACACAUUUUUAACAUUUUUAAAUGCUUGAUUACCAUUUUUCAAAUACAAGAAUAAAUUUUUUUGAAUACUUGGUCAACAUUUUUUCCUAUACACAGUUUUAACUCUUUUCAAAUGUUUGAUCAAUAAUUUUCCAAUAAAAAGAUUUGACUUUUUGGAAUACAUGUCAAAAAAAAAUAUACGCAUUUCAAUUUUUUAAAACACUAGAUUAACCUUAUUCAAAAUAUUGUUCAAUUUUUUUUCCAAAUGUUUGAUUAACAUUACUAUGUACAUGAUCAAAUUUUUUAAAAUAAAAUUUAGUACAUGGUCAACAUUUUUUCUAUACACAUUUAAUAAUUGUCAAAUCCUUGUCUAACAUUUUCCAAAUAAUUUUUCAAUUUAAAUAAUUUCAAAACUUAAAUCAAGCAUUUAAAAAUCUUAAAAGGUGCAUAUGAAAAAUAAUUGACCAUGUAUUUUAAAAAUAUUAAAAAUUUGAAAAAAAAUGUCGACCAUUUAUUAAAAAAAUUAACCAAGCAUUUGAAAAAUGGUAAAAUGUGUAUGCAGAACAUGUUUCACAUGUAUAUAAAAACAGGUAUACGAAAAAUAUAGUGUGUGUGAAUAAAGUUGACGAUGUAUUUAGAAAAUAUUAAUCAAACAUUUAAAAAAUAUUCAAUAAGCAUUUAAAAUUUUUAAUUAAGAAUUUUAAAAAUGUUAAAUGUGCAUAGAAAUCUACUUGACCAUGUAUUAAAAAAUAUUAAUCUUGUAUUUCUAAAUGGUAAUCAAGCAUUUAUAAAUGUUAAAUUGUGUAUAUAAAAAUUGUUGACCAGGUAUUCGAAUAUUUUAAUCUUGUAUUUGCAAAAUGUUAAUCACACAUUUAAAAAAGAUUAAAAUAUGAAUAGAAAAAAUGUUAACCAUGUAUUAAAAAAUGUUAAACUUAUAAUCAAAAAUUUCAAACACAUAUUAGAAAAUGAUCUUAACAUAUACAAAAUUUUAGAAUGAAAACAAAAUAAACAAAGAAAAAUUAGAAAACAAUAAAAACCAAAAAUAGAAAAUAAAAACAAAGAAAUCAAAGAAACAAGUGCAAAAAGAAAGAAAAAGAGUGAAAACGACAAAGAAUUAAAGAAACAUGUAAAACCGAAAACAAAAAAGACUGAAACAAAAGUAGGAAAAUGAGAUAGAAAAGAAAACACAAUAAAAACAAUGAAAGAAGAAAGUGAAAUCCAAGAAAAAUGGAAUAAAAAAUAUAAAAAUUGAAAUAUAACAACAACAAAAAAGAAAACCAAAGAAAAUCGGAGAAAAAAAUCAGAAAAUCGAAACAAAAAGAAAAGAAACAGAACAAAUGCAUGAGCGAACGACGACGAAGGAACGAAAUGAGUACACGUUAUUGGCCCGACCCUUUCGCUCACGCUGUGUAGGAAAAGCUUCAGUGAGGCGGAUGCUAGUCUCGCUACAAGUGAGGCAUAGCAAUCGCAUUUACAUGUAUGUUUUUGUUCGAUGAUAAACCCCUGCAAACCCGGCUGCAUAUAUGCCCUUUGGUCGGCCUGCUGGCCCAGUCAUCAUUUGCUUGUGCAGAAAAAAAAAUGUAAACAACAGAUUUGCCAUGCUGUAGGUAAAAAAUAGACAGUAUUAAAAAUAAAAAAUGUAAACUACUAAUCUUCCAUGUUAUAGAGCAUAAAAUCGCUGCAUAUUUGGAUAGAUAAUCAUAUAUAAACAUAAAAACAACAAAACAAUGUUGAAAAAAAAUUCUCAUGAAAAAUUAGAUAGUUGCUGUUCUCUAGAAAACAUUGCAAAUUUAUAAAAACAAUGUAGUGCACACAUGUCAAAUUCUAUGUUGCAAAAAAAGGUUUAUCUUGUGAGGAAGGCAAAAAUUUGUCAUCUCAAUAAAUUUGAUAGCAUAUAAAGAAAGAAUUUUCCAUUGUAUGUUAAAAUAAUUUUCCAUGGUAUAAAGACGAGAAAAAUUGUCAUGUGUGAAUAAAUAAUAAAUUACCAUGCUACCUACAAUAAAAUUGCCAUGGUGUAAUUAAUGAAAUUGCCAUGUUCUAAAUAAUAAAAUUUCCAAAAAAACUACCAUGCUCAAAUUAAUAAAUUUGCUAUGGUCUAAAUAUUAGAACUGCGAUGCCAAAUUUAUGAAGUCCGCUCUCUAAAAAUACAUAGCAAGUUACGGGAAUUUGUAAUGGGCACAUAGCAAAGUUAGGAAUUGUGUACUUCAAAAAAAAGAUGUCAAAUUUUAGGAAUUUUCUACGGAUGCAUGGCAAAUUUAGGUAUAUAGUUCUCAAAAAACAUGGCAAUUUUGUGAAUUGAAAAUUUUGCUAUGGUUGAAAAAAAAAUUGCCAUGGUCCAAAAAUCAUGGCAAAUUACCUCCAUAGAUCAUGCUAAAUGGGGAUAAUUUUUUUUUACUUGUAUCAGGACAAGACAUAUCAUGGCAAAUGUACUACCCCAUUAUCAAAGGCAAACUUGUAUUGGCUAGGUUUGAUUACAAUCAUGGUAUUAGCUGAAAGAAAUAAUUUAGCAUGUAGUCAUUAAAAAAUGUUUUACAAUUUGACAUGCGUCUUGAAAAAACAAAAAAAACAGUUUAUAUAUUUCCAUCAAAAUCAUUGCAAAAAAUUCCAUGUACUAGAGGACACAAUUACGCUAAAAUUGCCAUGUAUGUGUGCACGCGCGCACACAAUCUUAUCAUUGUCCUUCCAACUACUAGUACAAUGCCCGUACGUUGCCACAGGCUAGAAUGCAUAUAAAUAAAUCGAAUAAAUGAUUAAAUCCGUCCUAAGGUCGAAAAUCAUUUACUCCUCAUAUGUUCGUGUGUGUUCGGAUAAACUUGUGCCCAGCUGGCUCCUCAAAAUUCAACCGUCUGUACAAUCCGCGCUCCCCCAAAUCCAGCCCAUAUGUGUGUGUGGGGGAGGGGGUGUCCGGACUAUCCACCAUGUUAUCUCCAACAUGUGGUCCUAACACAGAACCCUUCCAUUUUCUGUCGGACCCUCCCUUUCGUGCUCGGUUUCCCGUCAUAGCGGGACAAUUCUCGCUUGAGCCCUCUACCUUUAAAACGAUGUUACGUACCUCACAUUUGCCAUGGCACCCUCACUUCUUCACGUCGCACUUCCCCACGAAUCAUCCAGGAGGAGUCUUCUACCAACCACCCCUCUAUCCGCUCUAAUCCCUUCCAUCCGUAUUCGUGUCGACCCGGCACCGCCAUCAAGGGGGCCGAAGCGUCCAUCACUCGUGACCCCUUCGAGCCAAGAAGACACAUCCGAUGUCUCCUGAGCCAUUGUCACGUUGUAACAUGAAGUUGAAUGCCGUCCAUGACCACGAAACAAAAAUAUAAUGUCCAUUGUCAGGCAUGGAACUGAUACACCGGUGUGUCCAUUAUUGACUCUUGAAGUAACCUUCCAAUGAAUUUAACCUUCUACUCUAAACAAAAAAUUAUAUGACUUGAUGGAAAAAAGAAAAGAACCGCUCGCUCAUGCAAUUUGCUGCAAAGCCAUCUUUAAUGAAAUGCUAUUUGCUACAUUUUUAAAUAGGAAAAUUAUUUCGAUCAGCCAGCCAUAACUCAACAGACCAAUCUCUAAUGAAAUGCUAUUUGCUACAUUUUUUAAACAGAAAAAGUAUUCCGAUCAGCCAGCCAUAACUCAACAGACCAAUCCGAACCCAUAUUUUCUAAAGUAAAGAAAUUAUUUCCCUUGAUCGAUCAAGAUGCCAAAGUGUCGUUUGCCCGACUGUUAUGUUCCUACACACGCAGAGCGAAUUAUUUUUCAAAUCAAGGAAUUAAGAAAAGGAAGAAUAUCAUGAUGUUCGUGGCACUUGCCAGGUCUGCCAUGCUACCAUGACAUUGUCUUUUUAGUCUCUACCCACAUGCCGAGUUGAGAAAUAAUCUUCAGAUAUACCCACUGCUAACACACUCACGUACAUAAUGGCCCUUGGCUGAUUGAUUUGGCUGGCUGUUAACACAAGCACACAACACACAAAAUCAGUCAAUGGCCACACGUAUGCAUUGUUUACUUUAUUCCAAUUGUGAUGCAAUCGUGACACCUACUCGCCCCGUCUGCUCGCCCGUCACGGUAAUUGCCUACUCGCCGCUGGUGCCAACCGCUCGACCUUGCCACCGCCGCUCACCACUCAGUCUCCACCGGCUGCCCAUUGCCUCUUGCGCCACCCGCGCGCUCACUCGGCCCAAUGUUGUUGUUUGGAAUGCGGGACUCAAGGUAAUCCAUGGAUAGGUUUUAGUUCUGCUUGGCAUCAAUCUUUGGUACUUGUUAAUCCAUCUAACGCACAACAAAAUCGACUCUCAGACAGAAAAGUGAUCUAACUCAUUUGUCAAGUACCCUGCUCUAAAAACUCUGUGACAAAUGAUAGUAGAAGUAAAAAUGGUAAGAAGCCCUCAGCUCAAACUAUAACAUAGCUAAAAUUAAUUAAUUUAACAAUUGUGCUUCAAUAGUUGGAACACUGCAGUUUUCUUUAUAUGGACUUAUACUAAAGACAAUUUAGGCAUGGAAGAGAAAAACAUCACCUCCAAUCAUUAACAUCCCAAUAUUCUGACGUAGAUUUGGCACUGACUUCUCUAGAUGAACAAUGAUCCCAAUGUCCCUCUUACUGGAUAGCAAGUCCAAUGUCAACGGUAAUACACAAUAGGGAGCGACAUCUCAAAUCUUGUGGUCCAUAGCAAUUAGAGUCCUUCUCAAGAACUUAUCCUGCUUCGAUAACCACAUAUGAACCAACCAUAGAAGCGUGAAAAGUGAAUGCAUUAUUGGUGCAUAUAGAUGACUACAUAUCACAUUCUCUUGCCAUCUCUCAAACUUAACAGUCACAUCUCGUUACUUCUGAUUCCACGCUGUUCUCUCUCAAAUUAAUUAGUGAUUGCAUCACAACACAACGGAUUAUCUUGAUCAACUCCUAACAGGAUUCCAGUCAGCAUUGAAAUCUACAGGAAGACCAUGGAUCAGUAAUCUGAGAAAGGAAAGUCAUGACAGAAAUAAUCAAGAUGCUAUAAUCACUUGAUAUAUAAGCGUGCUGAUUACAUAGUAGUGUAAAAACAAAUGAUUGGAACAAUACAAACAGAACUGAAAAUUUCCUGUUAAGUGAGGAAAUCAGAACUAUUGUUCAGCUUACUAAAAAUCAUGCUUCAUUUAACAACAUAAGAGCUCAAACUAAGUUCACGUGGCUUCUGUUCAAGAAAGAGUUCAGUAGUAUAGUGAUCAUGAAUUGUUCAGCACAAGAAAAAGAAGUGCAUGGCGGUUUUGUAGGGAACGCGCCAGAAAACAAAAAAAUUCCGACCUACGCACCAGCCCAGGACCACUAUCGAGACUGCAUACAUGGUUUGAUCUUUUUCAUUACCGACUCGUAGCACAGCGGGAAGUAGAGUCGAUGAUGAUCGGAGGUGCAGAUCCCCGCAGCUAGGAUUUACAACCUCCCAACCGCGAGGAUGUAUACCCUCAUCUGCUCCUCAGACAGCCCUCCGGGAGGCGGUCGAACAGCCCCCCGGACGGUGUCGCAGACAGCCCUUCGGGAGGACCUUCGAAACUCUAAUGGUCACUCGGAUAGCCCUUCGGGAGGACCUUCAAAACUCGGACGGUCACACGGACAGCCCUUCGGGAGGCACUCACGAACUAAGACCGAAACUAUGAUCUCUCUACAGAGUUGCACACAUACGGUGUCAUCUAUCCGGCAGGCCUUCGCCGUCCAGAACUAGUUCCUGCCGGAACCCAGACAGCCUUACGGCUCUACGAAACUCUUUUCGUGGGAGGGAGAGAAGAAGCCAGAUAAUGCAUGGCAUGUGUAUGAGAGCAAGGGAUGAUUCUUUAGGAAGCCCCCUCCACCCCUAUUUAUAGGCCAAGCCCAAGGGUGGCUUCUCCAAGAAGCCAAGGGGGAAAUACCAAAAAGGCCCUCAAGGUGGCUUCUCCAAGAAGCCAAGCAAAAAGCACUUUCACUAUUCAUGACGACAUUUUUUAGCGUCCGUUCGAACUGAAAAUAUUUAUGUGGGCUCAGAACAUUUCCAGUACCCACUAAAAUAAUUUUCAACGCGUUCCGAAACAAUUUCGGUUUAGUGAUUUUCAUCUGCGAAAAGCAAACAAGAAUGCGUUUUCACUAUUCAUGAAGACAAUUUUUCGCGUCCAUUAAAUCCGAAAAUAUUUCUGUGGGUCUUAGAAUAAUUCCAGUACCCACUAAAAUGAUUUUGGAUUCGUUCUGAAACAAUUUCAGAUUAGUGAAUUUCAUCUACGAAAAACAACCAAAGCGGUACCGGCAGCUCCGAAACAUUUUCGGUUUUUAUUUCUGAAAAUUCCAAAAAGUUUCUAGAAUGAUUCUGACACCCUCCAAGAAUUAUCAGGCAUGUGCCGAAACCAUUUUGACUUAAUGGCAUACCCCGAAACAACUUUUUCGGUUUCACCAGAACUCAUCCGGUGACCUCUCUUUUCAGAACUUUUUUGAUGUCUCGAAAAACCUUUUCCGAAAACUUUCUCUCAGACUCCCUGUCUAGUAUUCAGCAGAUAGAUGACCCUUAAGCGUGUGACCCUAUAGGUUCGGUGAAGUAUAGACAUGACCUGGAACCUCUUCCGAUCAAUGAUCAACAUCGGAGCCGUGGACACCCAUAUUGACCCCUAUACCCACACGAAUGAAUAUUCGAGUGAACCUCUAGUUGCCGUGAGCUAUUCCUAUUGCUUCACGAUAUGUCACAAACACCUGAGGUGAGAUUUAUUGCAUUCCUGUGGAUCAACAAUUUGUCCACCAGUUACCUCGUUACCGGUUUUGUUAUCUUUUCUCGUUUCCGUGUUCCGGCAUCCCAGUGAUCAAAUCACACUGUGUCUGGCCAGACGAUGAUGGAUACCGUAACACCGAGAGGCCCCGAGUAUAUCUCUCCAUCAUCGGAGGAGCAAAUCCCAAUCUUGAGCUAUCAAGUUACUUGACAUACUUUUCCAUGAACCUGUAAGCCGCCGUAAUAGCCAACCAUUUACGGAUGACGUUUAACAAACCCCAAAGUUCAUGAAGCAAGCAUGAAGAAACUCGAUACUCUCAUGGUCUAAGGAAUCAUGCAAACAUUAACCAUCUCUGUGUUAUGUACCAUUGACUUGUGACAAAUGAAUCUCAUAGCAUAACAUCAAUCCGGGUCGAUUCAACCCAAAUGUUCUCUUAACAUUGUGCCCUCCAAGUUGCUGGCAUUGACAUGCCCAUGAUCAGGAAAACUGAACCAUCAUGCAACACUUGAGCUAGUCUUAGAGGCCAGACUAAGAAUACUUCUUACCGUUUAUUAUUCCACACGUGCAUAUGAGUCUUCCUCCGAGCCUCGUGUUAUUGCAGACUCGAGAACCAUAGCAGUUAUAGCAUGGAACAUAAACAUAAUUAUGAACUUGGAGAUAAUAUCAUUUAUUAUUGGCUCUAGGGCAUAUCUCCUACAGACUCCCACUUGCACUAGAGUCAAUAUCUAGUCAAUGCUAAUGCACUUUACACCUAUGGCAUACUGGUGUAGAAAAUGCUUCGCUUGUGGUAUAGCCUGAUGUCCAACGGAUCUGGCGACUUCAGCUCUGUGUGUAUCAUUGCAUAUCCUCACGUUUUCAUGCUUUCACAAAAUUCAUAUUUUGUGUGGACUUGGCUUUUAUGUAUGUGAAUCACAGGUCGAACCUGGAUUCCUCAGACUGAGUUAUGGAGAAACUACCUGCAGUAGUGUCCCAUUGACAAAAGCCAUCUUGGAACCAUACUAAGUUCAUGAAUGAACUAUAUGAUUCAACAUCUUGUUUGUCGCUUCUAAAGCGUCAACAUACUUAGUCAUUUGUUAUAGAAUUCGCCACAGUAUCCUGUUGGGAACAAUUUCCAACUACCGUGCCACCAUAUUGUGUAUUACACAAAACCCUUAACUUAAAUCAAAAAUCGCAUGGAGAAAAGAUGAAGACUAUAUCGAUAUAACAUUUUACAACGAACUCUUCAUGAUCUCCGCUUGCGAGAAAACAUAUCAUCAGUACUUACUCUAGUACUCAAUGACAUCUUUCACUGUUGUCCCACGAUCAGUACUUUGAUCACUUUAGUAUCCAUACUCGCAACCGCUUGGGAGUAUUGGACAUAUCUGGUUGUUUUACAUACCAUGGAAUACAUGAUUAAUCCAAACACAUGAGUGUGUGGAAUCCCCAUCAUGUAUUUUGCUCAUCAAUGUUUUGGGACACUGAUUCUUGCAAAAACUCUUUCCAUGUGACUUCGGCAAGAAUCACUCCUUGUCGUUCUUAGUGCUAAACGGUUUUAGCAUCUUGUCAAUAUGUAUUUUUGCUCAGCCCCAUUAGGUAAAUCUAUCUCCAUAGAUCAUUAUGCCUAAUAUUGAGGCUAUUUAGCCUAAGCACUUCAUCAAAAAACUAUUUUCAAAUGAAGUCCUAAUUCGUGUCAAGAAAUUUAUUUCCAAUUAACAAUGUGUCAAGCACACAAGGUUUUUAGAAAUAUUAUUACGCUCCCACUUACUUUCUUGAAUUACAAGCAUCUUCGUUACCCAUUGAUGAAGUCAAACCCCUUUGACCAUUUCACCAAAGCACGAAGAUUCCAACUCCAUUUUGCUCUCUUCUGUCCAUCGCUGGAACUCUAAAGUUUGCACCCUUACUAGCAUCCUCUGGAUAGACAAAAUGCCUUGGACUGUAACACAUGCAAGUCCUUGGUUUCAUUUCCAUCAGAUGGAAAUCCUAUUGUCAUCCAUGUUUCAUAUCUCAUGAUUGAAAUAUGUAUUAAUUGCUAGUUCAACCCGAACCGACUUUAAGCAUCGCUACGAUGAAAACAACCUCAUCGUAGUCAACUCUUGAACUUGUUAUUUCAACAAGUCGAGCUUUAUGGAUAAAACAUUUUUAUCCGUAUCAGUUUUAAGUUCCAUAAAUAUUCAUUAGACUCUAAGUCUUCUGAAUGGUGUAUCAAGGUUUUAAUCUUGAAUCACUUAUAUGGAAACUAACUCGGGUUGUAUUAGCAUUUAGCCAAUUCCGGAGUCAGGGCCCAUCAACGCUUCCUUGUGUAUCGUAGGUAUAAUGUUGUCUAACAACAAUAUCUCGUUUGCGCACCUGAGAGGUUUGCAUGAGCCUUGCCUACGUGGUUCAGCUGCAAGUUCGACCGAAGUUCAUACAUUUUAUUGUAGAGACUUCCGUAUCAGUCGCAGUAGGAAACCCUGGAAUUACUUCCACGGCCUCUUUCCUUUGAUCUGAUGACGAAGAUACUGUUUAUCUCGUCGAGUUGCACUAUUCUCCCACUCACCUUUUUGAAAGAACCAUUCUCUUUAAAAGCACACCGUUUCGCGGCAAAACUAUUUGCCUCGGUAUAGUGAGGGGGGAAUACCCAAUGACUUGGGAUAACUUACAAAGUAGCACUUGUCUGAUUUGGAAUAGGUUUGUAACCUUUUACACAAGCCCCAUAUUCCAAAUGUUAAGAAAAGAUAUAACAUGGUUGGGCGUACCAUACCAUGCCGUCAUUUCAACAGACCUGAUGGAGCUCUUUUCAGUGUAAAAGCCGCAGUCUCUAAAGCAUUACUCUUCAAAAGUGAUAAUGGCAAAUUUAUUUAUGUCAUCUUUGAUCUUACCAUGUCAUAAAUGGUUUGAUUACAUCUUCACAGACAUUCCAUUCAUAGUGGUGUUCCGGGAGUUGUAAGUUAUGAAACUCUUUUCACAACUCAUCAGACAUUCGCUAAACUUGUAACUCAAAUAUUCUUUUCUGCAAUAAAAUUGCAGAAAAAUAAUUUCCUUGUUACAAUAACUUCUACUUCAUUUUUGAAAACCUUUCAGAUGAUUUCAAAAGAUCCAGACUUACGUCUCAUCAAGCAAAUAUCCAUAUAUCUACUUGAGUCAUUUCUGAAGAUAUAUAAAUCCACUACUUGCAACAACAUUUAUUGAACUACACACAUCAAAAUCUAUGAUCACCAAUAAGUUUGUUGCUCGUUCCUUAUGGCCUGUGAAUGGUAUUUCAGUCACAUGAUUUUUCGGAGGAAAGUUGCAACUGUCAGAUGAUUCAAAAUCAAACGACUUCAAAAUCCAUCAUAAUGGAAUUUUUUUCAUGCGGGUUUCUCCAAUGUGACCAAAUGCAAUGCCACACAUGUGUGGUAUUCUCAUAGUCUUGCGACAUUUAGCGUCAGCGUUAUGGAUGUAUCAUUUUACCAUCAAUAUUCAUAACAUACAUCCCAUCUUGGAUGGAAGCAUGACCCUUCAUGUUAUUCAUAAUACUGAACAACAAUUAUUCUUUUAUGAACAACCGUUUUGCAAUAAACAUUGUGCAAUGGGCUAGAGUGUAAGAAACUCUAAAAUGAAUUAUGAAAGUAAACACAGAGGUAAUAUAUUAAUAUCAUUAUUCAUAACAUACAUCUCAUUCACAAUGAAAGUAUGGCCCUUAUGUUUAUUCAUAAUACUGAACAACAAUUGUUCUUUUAUGAACAACCUUCUUGCAAGAUACCUUGUGCAAAGGGCUAGAGUGUAAGAAACUCUAAAAUGAAUUAUGAAAGUAAAUACGUAGGUAAUACACCGAUGGAAGGUAUAGUAACUUUUACUAUGUUCCCAACACGUAUUAAAACCUCAUUCCUGGCUAGUCUUUUUAGGCCAUAGUAGCUCUUAUAUUGAUUCGCAACAGAAUGCAAUCGAGCGGGUAUCUUUGUGAUUAUUCUCACAAUACCCAAGAAUUAGUGAUUAACAUGUUUAACCAUAAUUCCCAAGAACUAUAUCUUUGACCAGCCUACUAUACAUCAAAAACUUGUAUGACAUUCAUACAUGAGCUGGAUAUUCCAGUCAUCUUUCUUUCUGCCUUUAUACUUGUAACAGUUUAACUUUUAGUAUUUCUCCUACUCGCAAAAGAAGCACCCAACUUAAGAGUGGCGUUAGCCCCGGACUUCCUAGGCGUGUAAGUCAUACUAACACCCUUUGGACACUUCCUUUCUCUUUAAGUUGUUGUUUUAUUCACCUUUCAUUAUAUGACAGGCGUUCUUCUGGAUCCCUUUCCCAACAGUCAAAUGCAUAGUAAACACUUUUACUAAUACUUGCAAAGAAACAUUGCUUUGUUUGUAUCUGAAAAUAAUUUUCAGUUCCAUGAAUAUCAUAUAACUAUCCCAACUUUCGAAGUUUGGGUUUCAUGGAAGCAAACAUAUUCCACUUGACCGUAACAGAAUUCUAGCUUUUGGAUCGAAGGACGAGAGUCACAUGAUCCAUAGCAUUAGCGGGAGGAUACGGAAAGCAUGCGAUAGGACAAAGUCCUUCUCGGCACUUUUGAGGACAAUCAUCACAUUACGUUACCAAUCGUAAAGUUUUAACCAGAUAUUCAACAGCUAUUCAAUUUUAACAGGGAAAGUGGAAUCGCGAGCCAUUAUUCUACAACUAUUUUGCAAGAAACACUUAGACAGUGUUCAUAAUUAAUUGCACUGAGAAUUAAACAUGUUAAUUCAAGAGUGCGCUCCCACUCAAAUCAAUAUCUCUCAAAAUUGAUUAUGAGUGACACAAGAUCCAGACUUCAAUUCAUCGCCAUAGAAUCAUCAUCUCAUAACGGGAAUUUUAAUUGGUAGGCCAACUUGCCGAUCACAUCUCUAUGUGACUCUUGCUCAUCUUUCGAUGCGUGUGUUCUGAGCUCACGACGAUCCUGCCAUGAACGUCGAGACAACCAAGUGAUCUUGCUGCGAGGUCUGACCUCACCCGCCUCACACUUCUCUAAUCGUUCGUACUCAUGCAUCCAUGGCGCACCCCGAAAAGAUAGGUGCCGUGAUGGUGCUACACUUGGGAGAACACUAACUACUUGAUAUUUUAGUGAGAGAUCACCCUAAUAAAAAGCGACUACCGCACAAUCAAAAAGGGUGCAUCAAAGGGAUAAACAUCUCAGGCAAUUCAUAAUAGCAUGAUAUGGUAUAGUCCUUUAUGACGGAGAAGUCUUUCAUUCCUUCGUCUUCGGCAUUCGCGUCGGUGUUCACCUUCACGAAGAUUGCCACCACCUUGUUGAUGCACCAGAUAAUAUUGCUAUCUCUAUAGCUAAUAAAAUAAGUGCAUUACUUAAGGUUGACACGCAGGUCAUUAAAGUGACAAUCAUAUGGCUCCAGCCAUCAUGCCGAAUCAUGACACGCAGGUCAUGUUAAUUACAUCAUGUAGUCAUCUCAUACAUAAUCAAAUUGAAUAUGAGCAUUGCUAUACCACAUCACAUGCACAUCCUGCAAAACCAAGUUAGACGACUCUAAUCGGUUUAUGCAAAUUUUUAUUUUACGUGGCUUCUAAGGUUUUGACUUAAACCACAGCUACCAACGUUCUAUCAUCAAGUAUGAUUAAUCAAGUUGCUAGAUUAACAUCUCGGGGUGUAUGAAACAUGAGAUAAUUAAAUCUCGAGCCCCAUACUAAACUUCGUCAUACGCAUGACCCCCGUGCAGAUCAUAUCUGCAAUGCCCUUUCAUCUGCGAAUUUCAUCUUUCUUUUGACUACGGCAGAACCCAAAGAACUGAUAGCACUUCCAUGAUCAAUCAGGAUCACGGAUUGCCAGAAGUUUGUCAAAUUCCACCAUGUUGUCUCGAUAUUGAGCAAACGCAAAUUCUAGGGAAGCAACAAGAACGUCGGGUAAUAGAUUUCAUCUGUCACCCGCAUAAAUAAUUUUCAGCAAUAGAUCUCAUCUACUACCUAAUUAUAUUAUGCAAUACCCAUACAUCUCCAUGUAUUGUAGAUCAAAACCUACAUCUACGCAUAGCACGGCUCUUGAUGCCAAUGUAGGGUAACGCGACAGAAAACAAAAAAUUUCCGACCUACGCACUAGGCCAGGACCACUAUCGAGACUGCAUACAUGGUUUGAUCUUUUUCAUUACCGACUCGUAGCGCGGCGGGAAGUAGAGUCGAUGAUGAUCAGCGGUGCAGAUCCCCGCAUCUAGGAUUUACAACCUCCCAACCGCGAGGAUGUAUACCCUCAUCUGCUCCUCAGACAACCCUCCGGGAGGCGGUCGAACAGCCCCCCGGACGGUGUCGCGGACAGCCCUUCGGGAGGACCUUCGAAACUCGAAUGGUCACUCGGACAUCCCUUCGGGAGGACCUUUGAAACUCGGACGGUCACACGGACAGCCCUUCGGGAGGCACUCACGAACUAAGACCGAAACUACGAUCUCUCUACAGAGUUGCACACAUACGGUGUCAUCUAUCCGGCAGGGCUUCACCAUCCAGAACUAGUUCCUGCCGGAACCCAGACAGCCUUACGGCUCUACGAAACUCUUUUCGUGGGAGGGAGAGAAGAAGCCACAUAAUGCAUGGCAUGUGUAUGAGAGCAAGGGAUGAUUCUUUAGGCAGCCCCCUCCACCCCUAUUUAUAGGCCAAGCCCAAGGGUGGCUUCUCCAAGAAGCCAAGGGGGGAAAUAUCAAAAAGGCCCUCAAGGUGGCUUCUCCGAGAAGCCAAGCAAAAAACACUUUCACUAUUCAUGACGACAUUUUUCAGCGUCCGUUCGAACUGAAAAUAUUUAUGUGGGCUCAGAACAUUUCCAGUACCCACUAAAAUAAUUUUCAACGUGUUCUGAAACAAUUUCGGUUUAGUGAUUUUCAUCUGCGAAAAGCAAACAAGAAUGCGUUUUCACUAUUCAUGAAGACAAUUUUUCGCGUUCAUUAAAUCCGAAAAUAUUUAUGUGGGUCUUAGAAUAAUUCCAGUACCCACUAAAAUGAUUUUGGAUUCAUUCUGAAACAAUUUCAGAUUAGUGAAUUUCAUCUGCGAAAAACAACCAAAGCGGUACCGGCAGCUCCGAAACAAUUUCGGUUUUUAUUUCUGAAAAUUCCAAAAAGUUUCCAGAAUGAUUCUGGCACCCUCCAAGAAUUAUCAGGCAUGUGCCGAAACCAUUUUGACUUAAUGGCAUACCCCGAAACAACUUUUUCGGUUUCACCAGAACUCAUCCGGUGACCUCUCAUUUCAGAACUUUUCUGAUGUCUCGGAAAACCUUUUCCAAAAACUUUCUCUCAGACUCCCUGUCUAGUAUUCAGCAGAUAGAUGACCCUUAAGCGUGUGACCCUAUAGGUUCGGUGAAGUAUAGACAUGACCUGGAACCUCUUCCGAUCAAUGAUCAACAUCGGAGCCGUGGACACCCAUAUUGACCCCUAUACCCACACGAAUGAAUAUUCGAGUGAACCUCCAGUUGCCGUGGGCUAUUCCUGUUGCUUCGCGAUAUGUCACAAACACCCGAGGUGAGAUUUAUUGCAUUCCUGUGGAUCAACAAUUUGUCCACCAUGCAAGUUACCUCGUUACCGGUUUUGUUCUCUUUUCUCGUUUCCGUGUUCCGGCAUCCCAGUGAUCAAAUCACACUAUGUCUGGCCAGAUGAUGAUGGAUACCGUAACUCCACGAGGCCCCGAGUAUAUCUCUCCAUCAUCGGAGGAGAAUAUCCCAAUCUUGAGCUAUCAAGUUACUUGACAUACUUUUCCAUGAACCCGUAAGCCGCCGUAAUAGCCACCCAUUUAUGGAUGACCUUUAACAAAUCCCAAAGUUCAAGAAGCAAGCAUGGAGAAACUCGAUACUCUCAUGGUCUAAGGAAUCAUGCAAACGUUAACCAUCUCUGUGUUAUGUACCAUUAACUAGUGACGAAUGAAUCUCAUAGCAUAACAUCAAUCCGGGUCGAUUCAACACAAAUGUUCUCUUAACAUUGUGCCCUCAAAGUUGCUGGCAUUGACAUGCCCAUGAUCAGGAAAACAGAACCAUCAUGCAACACUUGAGCUAGUCUUAGAGGACAGACUAAGAAUACUUCUUACCGUUUAUUAUUCCACACGUGCAUAUGAGUCUUCCUCCGAGCCUCGUGUUAUUGCAGACUCGAGAACCAUAGGAGUUAUAGCAUGGAACAUAAACAUAAUUAUGAACUUGGAGAUAAUAUCAUUUAUUAUUGGCUCUAGGGCAUAUCUCCUACAGGUUUUACCAGACAACACGGCACAACCGCACAACCGCACACACAUGCUGAUCAGCAGCAGCAAGCACACAUCGUCAUAGCGAUACACAGCGGCAGGGGCAUACCACGCACACAUGCGCAGCAGCAACAGCCACAUGCACACAUCAGCAAGCAAUAGUGCAUGCCAGCGGAUAUAAAAAUCUCAAUGGCGGCCCGUCUCCCUCAAACCUCCUCGGCAACCCCACUGAACUUGUCACCUCAUGCCCCUCCUGUCUCUCUCACUCUCCCUUUCAUCCAACAACGCCCUGCCUUCCAGCCAUCGUUCUCGUCUUUCUCGGAUUGAUACAAAAAAAUAGGGUAAAUAAUUGGAUGCUUACUUAGCAUGUUGUAGCAACCUUGUAAGUGACUCAAUGGGACAAGCACACGAAACAUUUCAAAACAUGCAGUGAAGAGCUGCCAACUGUAGUAAUUUUCUUAAUGUAUGUACUAUUAGUUGGCAAAGGAAAUUGAUUGUGUGCCACCAAAUGAAUGCACAUCAUCUCGUCCGCUUAUUCUGGAUGGCUAGAGAUAUGCAAUCCUUUUGCCGGCCAAUUGACAAUAAUGGCUGAAGCAAGUUUAUACAGAUACAUAGCAAUGGACAUCAAAAAAUGAUAUAAGGAACUAAAGCUAAGAGUACCCCCUAUUUCUUCAGUUUCGGCAGAUUCCUCAUCUUCAGCAUCUUGACCAUAUUUGUCAAGUCGUCAUCAGGCCUAAGCCUGGCUCUGUUGUUGGCUUGGCUGCUGCAUGCCACAACCAUUAUAUAGAUUAGAGCAAACAGAAGCAGGCCCUAAUUAGUCCAGAGAAAAAAAUUAGAGGUAACACAUACCAGAAGUCCAGCCACAACCACAACCAGAGAUAACAUAUCAUGGCAAGCGGAUAUCAAAAGAACAUGAUCCACAGCCAGAGGCUCGGGAUAGACCAAAUGCAACGACCGUUAACAAAUCCAAAUUCAGUGUUAACAACAACCACUUAUAUAUAUUUGGACGUACAUAGAAAUUAGAUAUUUCCUAAUUGUUUGCAUAACAAAAAACAUACUGGCUGCAAGAGAAUGAAAGACUAACCUAUUGAUGAGCACAACAGUACAUACCAUCCCAUCAUGAUGGUGCCAUCUCUCACACUUGAUGAUUGCAUCUUGUUAUUUCUAACAUAUACACCAUCGGGCGAUUGCUUUAUUAGAAAUAUAUUUACACAAUAUCAUCAGAGCAACAUCAAGGAGUCGGAUGCUGGUGCACAGAUUCUCCUCAAAUUCCACAUGCAACCCUUGUAGAGAAGAACGACAUAUUUUUCUUAGGUGAUUUUUGAUCGAGCUCCUACAGAAAAAUUCAAAGAAAUCAUGAGGAGCAUGGAGCCAAGCAAACUAAUCAGAGUAAAUCAUGAGAGGAGAAGCGAUUGCACUGCAGGCUAUGCGUUACUGAAACCGAGCGAUCGAUCGAUGGCUGUUAACUGAACCCGAUCGAGCGAUUCCUUCGCUACUGCUCCUAACUGAAGCCGAUCGAUGCUGCCUCUGGAUGAACAGUGAGCAUUGCUGGGGGGGGUUUGGAUGAACAGUUCCCGGUGGGGGUGGAUGAACAGGACCCCGAUCGAUCGAGCCGGUUGGGGCUGGAUGAACAGGACCCCGAGGAGGGGUGGAUGAACAGGACCACCCCGUGGAGGGCUGGAUGAACAGUAGACGGUGGAGGGCUGGAUGAACAGUAGCCCGUGGAGAGGGCUGGUUGAACAGUAGCCGGUGGAGUAGCGCGCGAUGGAGGCUGGAUGAACAGGAGCCCGUGGAUGAACAGUCGCAGGUGGAGGCUGGAGGAGGUCGACGGUGGAUGAACAGUAGCCCGUGGAGGCUGGAGGGGGUCGACGCUGGAGAUGAACAGUAUCCCGUGGAGUCCCGUUUUGCGGUACGCCACACCCCUCCCGUUGAACAGGACCCCCGUUUCGACCGUAGCGCUCCAACACAAGUCGGUUUCCUCCGUUUUGCGGUACGCCACACCCCUCCCGAUCAAUAGGACCCCCGUUUCGACCGUAGCGCUCCAACACAAGUCCGUUUCCUCCGUUUUGCGGUACGCCACACCCCUCCCGAUCAACAGGACCCCGUUUCGACCGUAGGAGGUCCAACACAAGUCCGUUUCCUCUGUUUUGCGGUACGCCAGGCCUCGUUUCCAUCGGCUGUUCUGUCCAAGCCGGUUGGCUCCCACGCAUUCCGUUGCCUCCCGAUGAAUACGACGCAUUCCGUUGCCUCCCCAUGAACACGAGACGACACAGUUUCUCCGUUCCAACCCAGCCAUGUACACGAGCCCUGGCCGUACGUAUGCGCGAGUAGGCGUUCGAGACCCCGCCCGUUUGUACGUACGUGGCCAUAUUUUCUUUCUUGCACACUGGCCGCUGUACGUAUGUGUACAGGCUACGUGCGCGCCUCUACUACGACACGUGUGCGCCUCUACAUCGACCAGUAUGUACGUACACGUUCGCGACCAGAAUGACAACGCUACGUACGCUUCGACCAGGUGGGUCCCAACUGUCAGGCACUUCCUUGCGUGCAAAGAUGUAGCUGGUGGGUCCCAGCAGUCAGGGGGUGAAUCGUUUUUUUUUUGCCCGGACGCACUUCCUUGCGUGCGAAGAUGUAGCUGGUAGGUCCCAGCAGUCAGGGGGGAAACGUUUUUUUUGUGAAAUACGGUUGCCCGUCUGAUGGGUCCCUGUUGUCAGGUGGAGGAAUCAUUAUUUUCCGCCUAAUAAGGAGGCACUUCCUUACUGCGGCCGUGGACCCAGCUGUCAGCCUCUCCACGUACAGUCCACGUCCAAUGGAAGCCGUUCCUUGACCACGUUGACCACGCCGCGCCGAGAGCACCAGGGCGGUGGACAACGGCGAGGCCUAGGAAGGGGACGACGCGGAGCCAGGGAAGACGCGGCGGUGGAUGCCCACACGUAGAGGAGUAUGAGGGUUCACUGGUUCGCUGCGGUGUGAGGCUACGGUCGCCGCAGAAUAACAGGGGGUGUGGGUGAGUAGAGGGAUGGCCUGGCCAGCGGUGGGAGUAGUAGGGGGCGAUGAGGCCUCCGCGGCAUCGCAGCCGGCCACGGGAGGCAGGAGCACGAGGCAUGACCGGCGCUGAUUUGGGCGCUGGAGCAAGAAGACCAGAGGUUGAAGAAGCACUACGGCCAUUGGAUGGACAUCGUACGGUCACUAGAGCUAGAAUCGUGCAUAUUGACUAAGUUGACAAAGCCCUCCGUCCCCGUCAACUUAGUAGGCCCACAAGUCGGCCUCCCACUAUACUGGGUCCCAGCUAGCAGGGGGAGUAUUCAUUUUUUGUGCAUAAUAAGGAGGCACUUCCUUGCGUGCGAAGAUAUAGCUGGUGGGUCAGAGCUGUUAGCGCCGGUAACGUUUUUUCGCGAAAUACAGAGGCCCUUUCGGUGGGUCCCAGAUGUCAGGUGGAGGAAUCAUUAUUUUGCGCGUAAUAACGAGGCAUUUCCUUGCGUGCGGCCGUGGACCCAGCUGUCAGCCUCUCCACGUAUAGUCCACUUCAGAUGCAUGUCGGUCGUUGACCACGUUGACCAGGCCGCGCCGAGAGCACCAGGGCGGUGAACGACGGUGAGGCCUAGGAAGGGAACGACACGGAGCCAGGGAAGACUCGACAGAUAUUUCCCACGCGGAGGGGAGUACGACUGUACGAGGGUUUACUGGUUCGUCUGCCGUCGCCGGUGAAUAACAGCAAGUGUGGGUGAGUAGAGGGAUGGCUAAGCGAGCGAUGGGAGUACGGUGGGGCGGUGAGGCCUGCGCGGCAGCACAGCCGGCCACGGGGAGGAGGGAGCAGGCAGUCCCGUCGGCGCUUGUUUGAGCGGCUGGAGCAGGAAGAGCAGAGAUUGAAGAAGCACGACGGCCGUUGGAUGGACAUCCAACAGUCACUGCUUGUGCGUCAACCUUUUUUUAGGAAAGCCUCAAAUCUGUGGAAAACAGCAUACAGCCCAUCUGCCAUUAUUUCUAAUAAUUUACAGCCCAUUUGCUAAUUCUUAAGGUUUUUUUUGGAGCCCAUAUUCUUUUUGUUAGCAUUACAGCCCAUAUUGUGGCCACGGUUAAAAAAUUAUACGAAAUUUUGCAUAUUUCUGUGCGGUCCGAACUAUUUUUAAUCCCGAAAUUUCGAGUGACAUUCAAACUGAUUUUAAAAAUAAAUGUAUAUCAAUAUAAAAUCCAACAAAUUGUCCACGCAUAAAAAUCAAAGCAAUUUAAAAUCUCAAAAUGAAAAAAAUGAAAUUUGAAACUAAUUGUCGGUUUGAUGUGUUUUAAAAAUGUACAGCCCCUUUCUCAUUACUGAUAGCCCAUUUUCUCGGCCAGCCGAAUGAAGCUCUCCUCGUCUUGAAAGAUUUGCAGCCCAACAGGCCUGACAAAGCGACGUACUUGGCAAAUCACAAAAAAACUGGGUUGUGGCCGUGGACCCAGCUGUCAGCCUCCACGUACAGUACUCGUCCGAUGGAAGUCGGUCGUUGACCACAUUGACCACGCCGCGCCGAGAGCACCAAGGCGGUAGACGACGGCGAGGCCUAGGAAGGGGACGACGCGGAGCCGGGGAAGACGCGGCAGUGGAUGCCCACGCGGAGAGGAGUACGAGGGUUCACUGGUUCGGCCGCGGUGUGAGGCUGCCAUCGCCGUAGAAUAACAGGGGGUGUGGGUGAGUAGAGGGAUGCCCUGGCCAGUGGUGGGAGUAGUAGGGGCGGUGAGGCCUCCGCGGCAUCACAACCGGCCAUGGGAGGCUGGAGCACGCGACACGACCGGCGCUGGUUUGGGCGGCUGGAGCAAGAAGACCAGAGGUUGAAGAAGCACUACUGCCGUUGGAUGGACAUCGUACGGUCACUAGAGCUAGAAUCGUUCAUAUUGACUAAGUUGACAAAGCCCUCCAUCCCCGUCAACUUAGUAGGCCCACAAGUCAGCCUCCCACCAAGGUGGGUCCCAACUAGCAAGGGAGUAUUCAUUUUUUUCUGCGUGAUAAGGAGGCACUUCUGGUGGGUCCGAGCUAACCGCGGGGGGAACGUUUUUCUGCGAAAUACGGUGGACUGUCCGGUGGGUCCCAGCAGUCAAGGGGGAAAUGUUUUUUCGCAAAAUACGGUGGCCCGUCCGGUGGGUCCCUGCUGUCAAGUGGAGGAAUCAUUAUUUUCCGCGUAAUAAGGAGGCACUUCCUUGCUGCGGCCGUGGACCCAGCUGUCAGCCUCUCCACGUACAGUACACUUCCGAUGGAAGUCGUUCCUUGAACACGUUGACCACGCCGCGUUCCGUUGCAUGCAUACGUCCAUGGGCGUGGUGCGUCCCCACUGUCAGCCUCUCACGUACAGUCAUCUUCCGAUGACUCUCGGUUGUUGACCAUGUUGAUCACACUGUGCCGAGCGCACCAAGGCCGGUGGACGACGGCGAGGCCUCAGACUGGAAUGACCCGGAGAUGGGGAAGACGGGGCAGUGGAGUCGCAGAUGGAGAGGAGUGGGAAACUUGACUGGUUCGGGUGCACGGCAGCACAGCCGCGGUGCCGCCCACGGGAGACAGGAGCAAGAACAGAGGUUGAAGAAGGAGCAUGGCUGUUGGAUUAACAUCCAACGGUCCAGCUGCUAGAAUCAUUUGUUGAUUAAGUUGACAAAGCCCUGCGUACACGUCCGCUUAGUAGGCCCACAAGUCAGCCAUCAAAUCUGACGGGUCCCAGUUGUCAACGGGAGGAAUAAUUUUUUUCGCAUAACAAGGAGGCACUUCCUUUCGUGCGAAGAUACAGCCGGUGGGUCCCAGCUGUCAGGUGGAGGAAACAUUUUUUUCAGCUUAAUAAGGAGGAACUUUCCAUGCGUGCGACCAUGGACCUCGUGGGUCCCAGCCGUCAGGCUCUCCACAUACAGUCCUCUUCCGAUGACUCUCGUUUGUUGACCACGCCGCACCGAGCGCAGCGAGGCGGUGGACAACGGCGAGGCCCCGGACGGGAACGACUCGGAGAUGGGAAGACGCGGCAGUGCAGUCGCAGAUUGAGAGGAGGAGAAGGGUUAUAACUAUAGCAAAUCAAUUCGCACUUCCGUCGACGGAAAAACAAAAAGAAAUCAAUUUGCAGCACACACGAGAGUCUAGUCCCGUGUACUGUACCAAAUCAAUUCGCACUACAAAUGUCAUUCAAAACUUCGACUUCAUGUUAUGUUCAAUUAAAAUAUUUCGCAACGUGUAUAAUGCAUGCAACCGGUUCUGGUGCGGCGUGGGGCUGCAGUCGGUGGAGAAUAACAGGAGGUGUGGAGGGCUGGAGGGAUAGCCUGGCCGGUGGUGGGGUAGCGCUUCGCAACGAUGCGUGCUAAGCAGAGCCGCUAGCCGCCGGAGGCCGGACCAGGCGAUCCCGGCGGCGCUAGAGGAAGAAGACGAGAGAUUGAAGGUACAUGUCAACCGUUGGAUAUAAAUCCAAUGGUUGUGGAUGACAUAAUCAUUUGUUGACCAAGUUGGCAAUGCCCUGCGUAGGCUUCGACCUAUUGGCCCACAUGUCAGCCUGCAAAAAUGUGGCAUAUAUUUAACCCAUGUUUUCUAGAAUGUAUAGUCCAUUUGCUGGGCUGGGUGAACAAAUAAUUUCGCGUCAAUGCAGCCCAUUUAUAUUUUCUAAGAAAUCCCAGCCCAUUUGCACUUCCUUCAAAUACACGAAUUAGCUGGGCUCGUUAUAUAUAUAAUGUUAUGUUAGAAGGAGCAAUUAAUAUCAAAAAAUAAACCGGAGAGGCACAUUUUUUAUAUACAUAAUUAACAAAUUAGCGAGUUAUUAUUACAUUAGUCCUUAAAAUCUUCGCAAGCUUUUGUACGCAAUUACCAGGAUUUUCCGUGCCUGUGAGUCAAAAACAACCAGGAUUUUCCUUGUCAACUUCUGUUAAACAUUUACUUUUAUAAGUUAAUAACACGUGGGAUGUUUUUAUAAUGUAUAUAUAAGUCUCUAUAAAAUAUACGAUAAUAGUAAUAAUAUAAAUAUAUAUAAUGUGGUUAAAAAAUACAUUGGGCUGCCGAUCUUUAAGAAAAAGCCCAUAGGCCGGUAUGGACCUCAAAAAAUAAGUUGAAACCACUGUCACCGUAUGUCGUGGGCUACGCAUGUUAAAAUACAAAACCUAGGCCUAGCUGAUACUUGUUCGCCCUCUGGAAAAAAAUGAUACCAGAUCCCCGAGCGAACUGGAUUAAAGAGGGGGCCGGCGGCACGACUGAAGAAGCACAUCAGGAGCGAUUUUUUUUCUUCAGUGGAUGGCUCUCGAUGGUGUUUUUUUACUUGCCUCCGCACCAUACAACUUAUAUUUUUAGCCUCCCAGUCCGUGGUGGACCAGCAACCCAUUUGCUGGGCGGGCCAACCUACAGAAACCAGCACUCGGUUUUUCAUUAAGCCCCAAAAACAACGCAGUACUAUGUUUGUUUUGAGGCCGAAAACAUUACAGCAGGGGUUGAGCGGGGGAGGGGGCAAGACAGAGCAAAAAGAUUAAAAAGAGCUGAUGCGCCGUUGCUACCCUAACAAAGCAGGUGCAAUUCUUCUCGGGAAGAAGGUGUGCCGUUGACACCCACACGUCACAUACCCCACAGUAGGCAUACUAACAAGUUCGCACACAAGUACAAUAGAAAGGUAAACAUUCAUAUCAAACUCAGGUUCAUAGGACACGUUCAUAUUCAUAGCCAACAUUCACUAUCAAUAACUCAAAAGAUUCAUAUAUACACAAGUUCAGCAUGUCUAUGGAUCCAAAUGAUUGAUAGAUCACACAACAAUAUUCAUAGAUAAUUCACAAAAAGAUUCAGAUAUACACAUGUUCAUUAUGUUUAUGCAUCCAAAUGAUUGAGAUCACAGCCAAUAUGAUCCAUGGACGAACUUUAAUUACCUAGGGUACAGACUGGUAAAUGGUGUUCAGUCAGAGGUCUUGCUAAAAUUAAUGCUUGUACGAGUAAACUUUCGAGUACAUAAGAGGCAGCACAGACAAUCUGAACUUUGCUUGUAGGUUUAUCCUCAAAUAGUGGCCUCGUGCCGAGGGAGGUUUGAGCAACUUGGCCACUACUUUCAUCCAACUAGUUUACUGGCUCAUCUUGGUCCUGUAGCUCGCCAAAAUUCUACAUUGCAGAUGAGAAAGGAGGCGGUUGAGAAAAUGAACCACCCAAAAUUUUUGUGCAGUUCAACUGAAAUGGAGCAUCCCUGGCGUGCAGAUUGAUUAAGUGCCAGAUGAAUAUACGCAUCAACCAACUUGUCUGGAAUCUUUAGACUCCAUGCCAUACAGUUCGCUACCAUAUCUGCCGAUAACCAAAAGGCACAAGUUGGGACCAAAGACUGGACUGUGUUUUUUUGGGCUAUGCGCCAAGCAAUAUUUUUAGCGUUCACUCUCCUAAUACCUGGAGUUUGACAACUGGUUGACGCCGGUUGAUAUUCGAAUGAAUAUAGGCACUUCUUAUCAACAUCGAUGCUUGUCUGAGUGAACUUUGGAGUACAUAGCAGCAGCAUAAGUAUCUGUCCAUCUGAUCUUUUUGUGCAGUUCUACUGAAAUCACCCUAUGCAAUGAUUUGCCUGCGAGUUCAGGCUCCAAGUUACUCCUUUAUAAAAUCGGCAAACAAUAGCACAAUACCAAAUUACCAAUACAUGACAAGCACAAUAAUCAGGAUAAAGACCAGUACCAACCUGUGUGAGGUAGCAUAUCAAUUACUAUUUUCUUUGACUGGAAGCCGAGAUAAGCAAAGCGACUGACAUCAAAGGAAGAAAGCAGGCCCAGAUUAGCGACUGACAGGAAAGGACGGAAGCUGUCGAGGCAAUGAAGCACCCAAAGUUUUUGUGCAGUUCCACCAAAAUUGAGCAUCCCUGUUGGCACAUAUAUUGAGAGAGUGAGAUUACUGUAAUAGUGGGACUAGUUGAUGAAACAUACACUAACAAAUAGAAGCACCCUCAUUAUCUUAAUGGGUAAAGUUAGCAACAUAGUAGUCUUGCUUAAAGAGAGGUAUUUGUUUAUUUAAUCAGUGCCAAUUAGCUCAACACUCAAAGCAUUGCCAUGUAUCAUAGGUUGCAAAACUUUAACGUGCAAAGAUAACGGAGUUUCUCAUGACAGUAGCACGAUAUAAAUAGAGAUGACAGCAAACUAAUAUGGAUGAAGGCCUUAGGCCGGUACAAACCUGAGGAAAAAAGCUUAUUCAUGUAGUCCCAUAAGAGAUGAUAAACCACUCACUGGAAUCACUCAAUAGUGUAUAUUUUUGUGCACUUCAAAUGUAUGGUUGAAAUCACUCUUGUUUACCAGUGUUGAGAUUAUAUCGAAAGAUUAUCAAGAACUUCCAGCAGAGUUAAAGCACUGGCUGGGAUACAGUUCAUUGUAUUGUCUUGUGUAGUUCCACUAAAAUGUAUGAUUGGCACAACAUGAUCCCUGUUUGCACAAGUAGGAACAAGGUGAAACCUUCAUUAGCUUGGUGAGAAAGGAUAGAAAGACAUUAGCAUAUUACUCUAACAGUAGCAUCAAAUUCAUGAUGGACAAUACGCAAAACAUUGCCUCAUUAAACCAAUGGCAAUAAAUUGACAUGCAAAACAAUAGCACUAUUAUGUCAUGACACUAAUAAUAUUCCCUCCCUGCUCCACCACAUGAUUCACCUCCAUAUACAAACAUACACACGUACAUGAUUCAGCAUAAGGUGCUACUAAAGAUUUGUUUAACUCCGACAGGAAAAUUAGGCAGCAAUAAAUUAGUGGUACUUAAGUACUCCUAAUUAAUUAAGUGACCUUGCAGGAGAGACAACAGAAGUGGAAGGGCUCCUUGGAGGAUCGUCUCACAUGUAAGGUAGAUGUUGCCGGAGCCCUAGAAUGGCCUCGACUGAGGCCUCUGGCUUCAGCAAGAUCACCUUGGCACUGUUUAUUCUUCUUCUCCUUCCUCUUCAUUCUCUGUUUCUCUUUCUCCUCACCAGUUGGUGAAACCAAGUACAUGAUUGGCCUUCUAUUUCUGAAUUGGUUUUGUCAGUGAGGGAGUACAAGUGUACUAGUAAACAAUAGCAUUAUUUUCACAUGGGAGUCGCAAAAUAGAGAUGAACACAUGUAUUAAAUAUCAUUCUUACCUAAAGGAAGCUUAUGGCGCUAAUAUGGAUGAUGAGGAUUGGAACACAUAUCUCCCUUUGUGAAGUUCCACCGAAAUGAAUCAACUAUUCCAUUCUGACAUUCCAGUUAAACAGCACAAAAGUCACUUCUUUUAAGAAGUGUUUUGUGCAGUGCACCAAAAGGUCACAACAGCAACCUGGUGAAAUGGAUAUCCCUGUUUGCACAAAAAGCUGCAAUGGAAACAGUCAAAGUCUCAAACAAUUACAAGCAAAGACAUUUGGCUAAACUUGUCAUGGCUUAUAACAGUGGCAUGGCUUCAUUUUACCAGGGGCAUUAGAUUAAGAACAGCUAAAUAUUUGGUAUAAGGGCAUGGGACAAUGGGUGCACCAGCAGUCCAGCACCAUGUACCUAAACAGGGGCAUAAAGUGGUGAUUCAGAGUUUGUUGCCCCGAGAAACAAACAUCCAAGAAACAUAUCUGGGUUGGUCCCAUUUUUGUUCAAUCUAACCACCUACUCCUAUGUGUGGAUAGCAAAUCUAGUCCUGGUCAUACCACUGUGUACAGCGUUACCCCGAUAUUUCCCUUUUCGACCAAGAGACCAGUUGGAUGACCAGUCUGUACUACUUUCACCCCUUUCCUUCGUGUUUGUACCAAGUCCGAUGUACAUACUAAAUUCCUCACCCCCACUUUAUUUCUUGUUUGAACCAAGUACAAGAUUCGACUCCAUGAAGUAGCUUUUUACCUCUAACAAUAGAAGAAGAAAAUAGGUGACGUUGGACCAUCUGAUCAAAAGGGGCUGAGAGGUAGAAAAUGAUGCACAUGCGGCGACGUAGAGAGCUGGGGAAGUAGAGCUAAGGCGGUUUCGAAGGAAGAUAUACCUGAAGGUCGUCGGGAUGUGGAUAGGUGGGCGGCAGGAGGCCGAAUCCGCCCACACUAGGGCAAUGACGAAGGGAUCGGAGGACCUCCCGCGCCGGCGCUCGGCCAGAGAUAACGGUGCGGCCGGCAGUGGGUCUCCUCCUCGCUGUCGACGACGGCCUAAACGCUGCCCCUCCUCCCCUUCACCGGCGGAGGGGGAUACGUCCGGAUCUGUAACCAACGGUGAGGAUAGAAAGACAGUGUUUUUUGAAGGGAGAAAGACAGUGUUACCACCCCUAUCUUGUUUAUCUAGAGAGGAUGAGAGUGUGUGAAUAGAGCAACCCUAGCAAGCAAGCACGGAGGCUCCGGCCUAUAUAUACGUAGUGGGUUAGUUUUGCUUUUUCACUCCAUCAAAACAAUCGUUUAAAAUUGUGUACUACGUGCCAGGUCGCCUUUUUUUUGUUGUUGAUUGUUUUUUGAGAUAGCUACCCGCUUGUUCCAAGUGGUGUUACGGUGUUCCAGAUCGUACUUUGUAUCGUUCAAGUCUGGUACAAGUCCCUCCAUUAAAUGAACAACCACCCCUCGUAAAAAUUGUGAACAAGCCCACGGCUAAAAUUAUCGGAAACGUGGGUUGCCCCAACAUGCAUUAUUAUUUAUAUUUUCUACUCCCUCCGUUCCUAAAUAUAAGUCUUUUUUAUUAGCCACACCUAAGACAAGAAUUUUUUUAUUAGCAGUGAACCCCACAUGUCAUAGACACAAAAAGUGUGGCAAGAUUCCCUUAGGCAAGCCAAAGUGUGUCUAACAAUUUGAGCAACUCAAGUUAGGCAAGUGUGGCAAGUGUGGGAAAAAUAAUGUGGCAACAUAAGACAAACAUAGUCACAAUCCAAACAGCCCUGUAAUUUUUUGUGACAUGCAUGAAAAUUUGGUUAGUUAAAUUUAUAGUCAAAACUUUGGCAAGGUGCAUCAAAUCAACACAUGCAAGUAUCAAAAGGGAAGUCACGGCAUGCAUGCAUGCAUGCGUUGUACUCCCUCCGUUUCCAAAUAUAAGUCUUUUUAGAGAUUGCAACAAGUGACUACAUACGAAGCAAAAUAUGUCUACAUACAUCCGUAUGUUGUAGUCCAUUUGAAAUGUGUAAAAAGACGUAUAUCGAGUGCAGUGCUUUGAUGUGUCGCGUCAACUCGUACAAGACCGAGAAGUUUGAUUACUACAACGCCCUCUCCCUCGCGGACUGAGCUCCGGUGCCUUAACUGCACCUGCCUUUGGCUGCAUGAAAGGUGGGCCAACCACCUGUUGGGCCCACCUGUCAUAGACGCAAAGGCAGGAGCAGUAAGUCAAUGAAGCUGCGUCCCUCCCUCGCGCAUGAGCGUGGUGGCUGGCAGGACUAGUAGGAGCUUUUGCUACACGCUAUCCCUCCCACACGAGGUGGACGGACAUGCAGCAGUGGAUUCGAUAUUGUAGAAGUAGGAGUAGCAUCAUUGUUCGUCUUCUCGAAGAGGCGAAGAGCCAAGUGCAACCCGAACGUGGCAGUUGCAAACGCUCGCGUGGUGCGGUGCCUUGGAGCACGCAUAUAGCCAGGCUCUUGCAUGAGACAAAAUUGCUAUUUGAGCCCACUAUUGUAGUAAUAGUACUUGCUAGUAUAGACCUGUAAACCGGAAAGGAGUAUUUUCCUUUCUAGAGAUUUCAACAAGUGACUAGACUACACCGCAUGCAGUACUCCCUCCCUUCCGGUUUAUAGGGCUCAAAUCUCAAAUCUCAUCAAGCAAGGCAUUUUGCGAUUGGAGGAAUGUAUCUCGUACUUUACAAAACUACCCUAAUUAAACUCAUGCAUUAAUUACGUAGUUCUCUCAUUUUCCUCUCCGCCUUGGUCGCGGUGCACAAUAUUGAGCACUCCUAUAUGACUAGCCGCUCUAUCUACAUGCGGGACAUCAAAGCAUCUGGGCCCGCCUGCCAUCCACCAAAUCACAGUGAGGUGCUACAGUCGAAACUCACCGGUCACCCCGGUGUGGCCGUCAUGACCUGUCAUAUCACAAAACACACACCUUUACCAGCAGCGGUAAAGUGGCCUCGAAGUUGGACUGGACGAAGCAACCAUCAUUUCACUGGAACGCUCGUUGAAGCCCUUUCUCCCCUUUCUUGAAGAAAUCCUCACCCCGGGCUACUCACUUCUGCCAUUUUUCUUCUGACCGACGAAGGAAAGGUGGGCGAAUCAGUGAUGCUGCUAUAUUUUCAUUCCAAGAAUCUUCUUUUUGCGAAUCACCGACCGAUUCUCACAGCCUAUUCUUUUCCUGUUUUCAUUGCGAUUGUGGUUUCCUUUCGAUUGCUUUUUGUUUGUCAGUUCAUUGAUGGAUCCUGGAGCACUAGGCAAAGAGUUGUCGGCGGACAACCCACUGGAGACAGCGAUCUCCAGGAAGCGAGCACCGACCAACGAGUUGACCAUGUUGGCGGGCCAACCCAUGGAGAAGAAGAACUCCAAGAAACAAGCACUGGCCAAAGAGUUGACGACGUUGGCGAACGAACUCCUCAAAGAAAGUUGGAAGAAUAGCAAGGGGCCCACCGUGCCUACCCCAGAAACUCUGAUGGCCACCUAUGCGAGGCUCAAGGCCGAGUUUGAGGAGAUAGUCGCCGUUGAGAAGCAGUAUUCCCCUGGCAAGGUGAUGGUCCCCAUCGAGGACGAGGAGAUGGCCCCCGGAGGGACGGGAUCCCCCGGUGAGCAGCACAAGGUAAAAAAUAAUGGCUUAUUACCAUAGUUGUGGUUUUUGAUUAUUUGCAAUGUGCUUGCUAAUAUGUUAGGGUUGUGCAGGUGCCGGUGGACGUCCUUGAUGAUUCCGAUGUCGCGGCCCGUCCUGUGGACAACGCCCCAGAGAUCGUUUUCGAUGUCGCGGUCCGUCCUGUUGGCACCGCCCCGGAGAUCGAUUCCGAUGCCGCUGUCCAUCCUGUGGACAUCGCCCCAGAGAUCGAUUCCGAUGUCGCGGUCAGUCCUAUGGACAUCGCCCCAGAGAUUGAUUCCCAUGUCGCUGUCCGUGCUGUGGUCAUUGCCCGAGAGAUCGAUGACAAGAAAUAGUUGGUCGCGCUAAUCCUUCAGGGUAGUUUGCAUUGCCCUGUGUUUAAUUACCAGAACGAUGCGUGUUAUCAAACCAUCUUAGGGCUAGUGCACUGUCUUGUGUGGGCGGUACUUGCUACUUUUGUUUGAUAGUGAAUCAUGCGAACCCCCUCCGAGUUAUGGAAACAGAUGUAUCCUCACCAGCUUUUGAUGUAAUAUAUGGCAUGCUUAGAUGUAAGUUUGAACUGUUUAUAAUAUCAGCAGGGCUUGUUUGAUGAUUCUUGGUGUUAGUAGGCUAGCUAUUGUGCGAGCUAUAGUACUUGCAAAACACUCGCCGAAGAGAAACGUUGGGGCUGAUGAGCUCGUGGUACGCUUAUACUUAUCCGUCGUUGAUCGGGCAAUAGCCCAAGCUCCUAAAAUUGUAGGCUUAGUCGACACGGAUAGAUUCAGGCCUCAUUUGGUUCAUAGGGUAGGAAAAUCAUAGCAAAAGUACAGAGACGUACAACAGAAAAUCAUAGCAGUACAGAGACGUAUUCCCUCCGUUCCAAAAUAGAUGACCUAUAGGCGGCUAGUUUGGCCUAGUGGGUUUUUUUAGGAUGGCCUAGUGGGUUUCAGUGAUAUGACAUGGUACAGUGUUGUCCAGUCUUCGCAUGUGGUAGCAGUAUUGCGGUACAGUAAGUUUUCUUGAAGAAGCGGAAUUCAACGAAGUCAUGAUGGUUCCUUCGUCCGACCAACUUACAGUGGGAAAGGUUGGGCCUGCGAUACGACAGGGGUAGACCAGGAUAAUUUAAAAAAAAUAGUAUCACUGCUGAUUUAUAUUUAUUUUUUAUUUCUGAUGAAUGCUAGCAUUUCAACUCUUACGACGAAGAGUGCCAAACACAGCACAUGCUGGAUGUCCCACACGUCAGCGAAAGGAGUGGGACAUGAACAGCGUGGUAGAGCGUCUCCACUUCUUCCACUUCUGGGUCGGAGACCACACGUAGUAGUACUAGUGGUAUGAACGAUACAAAGUGCGACCUGGAGAGAAAGACACGUCUAGUUGGAAGGUCUCGGGGCAUACACGUAAACAAAUAUAAAAGCUAAUAUGUGCCUCCAACUAAUAUAGUAGUAGUAGAGUACUUAGGCACGUACUCCAUAACAUCACCGUGCAUUGCACGUACAACAUUUAGUGGUACUUAGACACGUCUAGUUGCAUGCACAUUACGUAGUAAGAGACAAAUGCCGCCCAAGAGUUCCCUUCUCGACCCACUUUUGGGUGUUUGGUAGAGUGUAUGGAGGGUGCAUGAGUCCACACUAGUUUAGCACAAAUACACUAGAAGCAUGCAUGAAGAGAGCAUGCAUGAAAAGGGGUGUUGAGUUGACCAUGCAUGAAGAGGGAACAACUAUGCUGAGACGAGAACGCAACCAAACACACCCUAUAUGCCACGCAUGUUCAUACCAUUUGUGCCUUUCUACUUCACUUACUCCGGACUCCCCCAUGGCCCACCUCACAUUAUCACCAUAUAUAUUUCUUGGAGUCCAUGCGCGGCGGGCGGGCGAUCUCUUCUCCCUCCCCCAUCUCUCUCUUCUCAGCCGACGCCCGCCGAGCGAUUAGAUUUCGGCUAUCGACAGUUUAUUCAAUUGCAGUCCCACAUGUUAGUGAAAAUGCGAGACAACGCGUGUCCCCUCUGGUAAGCGGCGUGCGAGCCGGACUGUCGGGGUGCGACGCGUACGAGUCGUAAGUGUGCCGCCUUUUCCUUUUGAACUUGCAAAGCGUAACAUUUUCGUGCGAUCGAUCAUAGAAAUCCAGAACAAAAUGAUGAGGGCGGUGCUUUCCCACGUGUUAGGCGGGCUAGUUUGAGUGAUAUGACGUGCUACAGUGCUGUCCACUUGCUCCAUUUUUAUGUAAGUAAGAGUCUACACUGUUACGUGGGAGGAGUGCGAAACACGGCAGAUCUGAUUUUGAUUGAGGGAAAACUGUUCCCUGCGAAAUAAUGGAGCACUGUUAGCGAUUAUAGCAUAAUACUUAGGGCAUCUCCAGCGCUGGCCCUCUAAUUUACACCGGCAUCUGUCCGAGGACACUGAUGGAUGCCAUCCAAUGCUGCCCGCAUACCUUUCGACAACUAUAUGAACUAACCGGACGAAAUUCGUGCAAACAAAGCAAAUUUCUCGAAGAAGGACGCGUAAAUGUACUAGUACUACUAGUACACAAUAGUGUCGUCCGUCCAGCUUAGUGCGGUGAGAUGGUUUCUCAAACAAGACGAUGGAGAAGCGGAAUCAGCGAAGAGUUAAAUGAUGGUUGCUUCGUACGUGCUUUGUGAUUUGAUGCCUCACUGCUUUGUGAUUUUUGAUAGAAGGGACAGGGGAGUAGACUCUGUGCUCUAUACUGUACAUGCGUCCAAGCACGGGAGAAAGAGGAGAGACGUUGCAUUUUUCUAUUCCUUCAAUCAAUCAAUCAGGGAGCUUCGGUUCCAUCCUUUUGGCUUUAGCAACACCGUCCACAAUGGUUCCCACGAUGCCAAAAGCUAUUUUCACAUUUGGCUACACAUUGUGAUGCCCUUAACUGUACCACUUGGUUUUGCUCCUGUGUGCUAUCUAUACAAAUCACAAUUAUAUUGAUCUAAAAAAUUAUAGAAUCAAGAUUAGUAAAAAGGAGGUGAUUUUGCCGUGCGGAUGACGGGGGAGGUUUCUUAUUUUUAGAGGACGUUGUCCUGGCGGUUUGCUAACAUGCGGUCCCAUGUGUCAGUGCUUUACCAAGCCGAUCCGCGUCCCACAUGAGGUAGAACAAUGGCAGAAGCAACACGUGGUUAACUUGAAGAAGAUGAGGGAGAAGCGGAUUCAGCAACGAGUGAAAUGAUGGUUGCUUCGUCCCUCCAACUUCUUUUUUUAGCAUUAUUACUUCGUCCCUCCAACUUAACUGCGGGAAAGGUGCAGCUUUAUGAUUUGACGCCUCAUUGCUCAUUACUAUGUCGGCGCCAUGACUGGGUGCUUCACCCCGGCUGCUCUGCACUGUAUUCCGGUAUGGCACGUGGACCCGGUAGCUUGAUGUCCCACAUGUCGGCGAAAGGGACUAGAAGAUUUAUGAAAGCGAGCGCUCCACUCUUAUGACGGAGGAGUACACGACACGACGGCCCAGUGAACUGUCACUUGUACUGUAUAGUACUAUAGUUUUGCUGUUUCGCACGAUCCAUCGAUACAAACCCGAUUAAACAGGAAAGGGCGGGAUUUUUCCCGCGCGAUAUAUGAUACUGGCCAUACAUUUCAAAGGCAGUUUUAAUGUAUGCAAACUGAAUAAUUAAGUAACAAUAUGAUAUCUAGUAAAACUAAAAACACAUAUGAUUUAUUGUGUUAGAGUGUAGUAGUAGUGCUGUAUUGCAUAGUUGUUAGAUAUAACAUGCGAGAACGUGUAGAGAUGUAGUUUUGGAGGGCCAACACAGAGAAAAGCGUAAUACGGUCACCGAACUUCAGAAUAAGCUGAUUACGGUCACUAUAUACGUUUUGCGGUGAUUAUACGGUCACUUGCUCACGGUUCAGCAUCGGAUUGCACUCUGUUGACCGGCCAAAUAGUCUGCGUGGCACCAUGUUGACUAGUUAAAUUGACCACGUUCCGUGUGGGUCCCACCUGUCAGUUCGCAUAGGGAAAAGGUCAGAUAAACACAAAUUUACGCAGGCGCGGCAAGACUCCAACCCGUGCGCGGGAAUCACCUGGUUGUUUAUAUGUCUGUCAGGGCCUGAUGUGUGCGCAUGCACGUGUAGGUUGAGCACUUGAGCGUGAGAGUGUGUGUUGGUCGUGUGGUGUACAGGUCUGUGCAUCCAUGUGUGCGUGUGUGCGUGUGAGUGUUGCGUGCGUGCGUGGCUGUGUGUGUACGUGUGAGUGUUGCGUGCGUGCGUGGGUGCAUGUGUUCGUGUGAGUGUUGCGUGCAUGCAGUUCGUGUGCAUGCGUGCGUGUGUGUAUAAUCACCACACCAGCUCCUGUGUGUUAAAACAGACGGCUCGGCAUACCAAUACAAGGCCACCUUGUCCGCUGUGCCCGCGGUCAUGACUUCGAACCACCGUCCAAUAUUUUUUUGUCGUUUGUUUUCAUUCUUACUAGCAAGAUGCCCGUGCGUUGCACGUAACAUCAAGAUGCAUGUGUAUGACUAGUUUAUCUUGUGAGAGAAAAGGAUGAACGAGGGAAGGCCUUAUUUGCAAAUGUGGAGAGGUGUGUGGGUACCUUUUUGCAAAAUUGCCAUAGUUUCUUUCCUAUCCGUCAGAUAUAAAUCGGACGGCCUAUAUUGCAGGAUGGCAGGCACACCAUCAUCACCAACUCUGUUUUUUAUAAGAGUGUAUUUUAUAAGAGUGUAGAUGUAGAGUAGAUACAAGCCGACAGGUGGGCCUGAUGGUAGUGAGAUAAUGUGAUGCAACACUAGAGGUGCCACGUGGAGCGUUUAACAGGUCAACUAGUCGUGUCUUGAGCAAAUACAGAGUUGUACGGUGAGCCCGUGACUGUAUAAUAACCACAAAAUAUAAAUGGUGACCGUAAUGAGUGGAUUCUGAAGUCCAAUGUACGUAUCGUGCUUUCGCUUCAAAUACAAUGAUCGUCACUUUAUAUAUCGCGAGAGAAAGAUGAAACAUGCGUGAAGGUGCUGGGGGCUUACUUUUAGAGGACCUGGAGAUAGUUUGUGUGCGUACGUGAAAGGGGCGUAGAGGGGGGUAUGCGAUGGAGAAAGAGAUGCUCUUCGUUUCUCUUUAUUAUGACUAACUUUAUAUAUAGUAUAAAAAUAUACAAAUUCACAGUGCGGAAUAAAUAUCAUUGUGGGCACCGUGCAAUGCAAAUUAGCGUUCAUACUCCUCCAUAUAACUUUGUAAUGUUGUAUAUAUGUAGAAAUUCUAAAAUAAUUUUUGGCCACACUUUAUUCAAAAGGAAUGUUGUAUGCGAAAUAAAUGUGAAGAGAGGGCUUUUUAGAUCAAUGGGGUACGUGAUGUAACAUGUGUGAAUGUGUAGUUGAUGCAUUUGGCAGGGCCUAGAGAGGUAUGUGUGUGUAUUACGUAUUCGAGAGAGGCAUGGAUAGAGGGGCUGGCGGGGGGGCGUGGGAGAGAUAGCACGAGAAAUGAGAGUGGUCUAGAGAGAGAGACGAAUAUGACGUCAUGGCGAGAGAUUCCCUUGAGUGUGUAUAUGCAAGGGCGGAGUGGAUAGAGGCACCAGGAGAAUAUAUUUUUUGUGUGUGGUGUCUGUGUUGGUAUGUGUGGGUGUGAGAAGAUAACGAGACGUGGGGGCAGAGGGUGUGUCACCGUGUGAGGUCCGGUGGGUCAAGGUGAGGCCCUUCGUUCGGUUCCGUCCUGCGCCACAUUGGUCGGCCCGUGACGCAUUUAGGGAGAUCCAUGAAUGACUAGUCGUACAAGACAAAGAUAGCAUAAUUGUGAAGGACUCUGUGUCCACUGACAAAGCCGGCUAGGAUUUGUAACCCUAGGUUCUUGGACUAAGGUAACCCCUUUAUCUCUGAUAUUAAUAUUCAUCCAACCUAACUUUAAGGGGCAUCCUACAGAAUGCUCUGCUAGAAUCAUACUCGUCGAUUAGGAAGAGAGGUGUGAGACAAUGCGUGAUAGACAGGCCUAAAGAUAAUGUGCGUACAGGAGACACGUAGGCAGGUCUAUGUAUAUAGAAAGGGUCGAUGGGGAUUGUGCGUGUGUAUGCUUGCGAGAGGAAGAGUGCUUGUGAUAAAGGUUAGUGAAAACAGUCGUAAAUGGUUACGAGAGGGAGGGAGGGUUAUAUCAAGAGCAUGUGUGCGAGAAAGACACCUCGGGAGAGAGUGUGUGAGCAUGUGUGAGAGACCACCGAUGGAGAGUGAAACUACACGUAAAAGACUGCUGUACACAUUGAUUAAAGAUAUAAAUUGUAUCCAAAUAUUAGGAUGGGAUCACGAUAUUUGCAAUUCGCGUAAGGAACGGUCAUUGAUCCAUCAGACAUCUAGAUUCUAUCGAAUUUGAGCAUGUCUAUGUUAUUAUUCGACACAAUUGAUCCAUAUAGUUAGUAUUUUGAACUCCAGACAAUGCAUCACUUUAGCAAUCGAAUAUAAACGUGAGUAUAGUUCAUGUUGUGUGUGUAAAGCACAUUAUACAUACGAAAGUUACACAAUGAACAUUAUAAAUAGCUACCUAUGAACUAGCAUACAUUUGAAUUCAACUUAAGGUGGUUUUAAAAAAAUCGAAUUCAACAUGAAGUCCAUUCAAUUAUUUGAAUUUGAUAUCAUGGCAUUUGUAAAUCAUACCUAAAUUAUGGGGGCACCAAUCUUUGCUUUGAUUUUGUACAUAAUAGCAUAUGUAGUCGUGUACAAAAUAGAUUCAAAUUUAGCUCCUCCAUUCCAAAAUAAUCGUAGUUAUAGGAUUUUCAAGUGUCAAAAUUUCAAAAAGAAGCGGAUAAUUUAAUGAGGUUUUCAAACAUAUAAGGUCAAAUUUAACAUUGUCUAUUUAGGUCAAUCCUCAAAGUUCAAGAGUACUCUAAACGUGAACGCUUGUGUUUCAAAAUUUCGAACGAAGCGCCAAAAGAGCCUCUACUCGCCCGAAACCGCGUGAGACCAAUGUUUGGUAGUACAAGGAAAUUACUUUUCUAAUAACUCCGACCCGUGAAACCUACCGGCCCGACGUCCAAAGGUCUAAACCGGGGUAGGUUUGUAGCUUCAUCUAGACGUCAUGCAACCGCCUCCGAAAAACAUUCAUACACAAUGGCCACCUAAGCACACAUGCGCUGAAAUCGCUCCCGCCCACUAUUUGGGACACCUGGGAUUACCAUCCUACCCCCAACCCACAGUAAGUCCGAAAUUUGAGAGGGGGGCAAAGUUUGUACUUUCCCCAAAUUUCAAACAAGCGCGUCCCAUCUUCUGUUCAAAAAAGCCAAAAACAAGCGCGUCCCAGACCGAAACAUGGUUUUCCCCCUCCCCCCGCCCACCCGUUCGAUUACCCAUUCGUACUCCAUGGGCGCAAAAACUACCUCUCCACCAGCCGCGAAACCCCGGCGUCCUCCGUCCGCCACCCCAUUGUGACGCCCUCGAUUCAAUCGUACACUAAUCAUACACGCAAAUGUGUACGAUCAAGAUCAAGGACUCACGAGAAGAUAUCACAACACAACUCUAGACACAAAUUAAAAUAAUACAAGCCUUAUAUUACAAGCUAGGGGCCUCGAGGGCUCGAAUACACAAGAGUCAGCGGAAACAACAAUAUCCGAGUACAGACAUGAGUUAGACAAGUUUGCCAUAAGAAGGCUAGCACAAAAGCAACAACGAUCGAAAAGACAAGGCCUCCUGCCUGGGAGCCUCCUAACUACUCCUGGUCGUCGGCGGCCUCCACGUAGUAGUAGGCACCCUCGGGGUUGUAGUAGUCGUCGGUGGUGGCAUCUGGCUCCUGGACUCCACCAUCUGGUUGCAACAACUAGAAAGAAGAAAGAAGGGGGAAGGGGUAGCAAAGCAACCGUGAGUACUCAUCCAAAGUACUCGCAAGCAAGGAUCUACACUACUUAUGCAUCGGUAUCGAUGAAAGGGGUAGUAUAUGUGGACUAACUGCAGAAUGCCAAAAUAAGAGGGGGAGAAGCUAGUCCUAUCGAAGACUAGCAUCUUCUGGAAACCACCAUCUUGCAGCAAGAGGAGGGAGUAGAGUAGUAUAACAUAAGUCAUAUUUAUGUUGUUGUAUCAACGCUCCGGGAUCCUUUCUCGACUCCCGAAGAAACAUAUCCAAAUCAUGCCUCAGCAUCCAGUUCUAGUUGUAUCGAUCGGGAUACAACUCCGAGUGUCCGUUACCGUAGGACAGGCUAUCGAUAGAUGUUUUCUUCCCUGCAGGGGUGCACCAACUUACCCACCACGCUCGAUUACCUCCGGCCGGACACACUUUCCUGGGUCAUGCCCGGCCUCGGCCAAACAAUACGCCGCAACCCGACCUAGGCUUAAUAGAGAGGUUAGCACGCCGGACUAAACCUAUGCCCCCAGGGGUCAUGGGCCAUCGCCCCGGGAACUCCUGCACGUUGCGUGGGCGGCCGGUGAGCAGACCUAGCUACCUCCUUCAAAAAGGCGGGUGCUUACCAGUCCAACCCGGCGCGCGCCGCUCAGUCGCUAACGUCUAUUAAGCUUCGGCUGAUGCAUACGACGCAGAACGCCCAUACUAUGCCCACGUGAUGGUUAGUGCUAUCAGGCCAGAGGCCCCUUGGAUCAAAUAUCCAAAUCGUAGUGGAUUAGGAACGCGCGGUAACAAGCAGAGACUCACGAAAGAUGUGACCCCGUUGCCCCGUCUCGAGGACUUGCGGCAAGGGCCUCGUAAUUAUCUCGCGGGCACCCUCCAGGUCAACCCGACUCCUCAUCACUCGCAAAUAUGCUUGCGCGGGUACCCCUCAGGGCCGACCCGUCUUUAGUAACAGGGUUCAGUGUAAAGUCAUAGUAACCAUAGUAACCGUGUGUCUAACACCAAGGGGAAAACCUGAGGAAUCACCCUUGACGGAUUCCACUCGAUGUAAUCAUCAAGGUGAACGUAAGAGGAUCCACCCUCGAGGUUCACACUUGAGGGGUUGCACGACAGAGUCAUAUCGGAAGUGGUUAAGGCGGAAUCACCCUCGACGACCACGACUGAAUAGCUACACUACAGGGUUAACAUCAGAAGUGCUGAUGAGGUCUCACCCUCGGCACUCGAUAGUAACCCAGUAGUGUCGAGCAACUAAGGGGAAAGUGAUGUGCGGUGCCGGGGCCUAGUCUUUGAUCCCGCUGAUCGGGUCUUCGAUGAUGAAGCAGGGGCAACAAGGACAAGGUGGGGGUCACUGAUGGAUCACUAACCAACCUAUACUAAGCAGUUUAGGAUAAGCAGGUAGGUAACAAUAAGCAGGUUACAAAAGCAGGCUAUGCAUCAAAAUAGGAGCAAACAAUUACAGUAGCAAAAUCUAAUGCAAGCAUGAGAGAAAGGAAAUGGGUGAUAUCGGGAUGAUCAAAGGGGGGCUUGCCUGGAAGUUCUGCUGAAAAGGAAGAAGGGUCGUUGUCGACAUAGUCGAUCACAGGGGCAGCAUCAGUCUCAGGGUCUACUGGAGAGAAGAGGGAGAAGAAACAGUAAAUACAUAGACAACAAGGCAUCACAAGGCAUAACAUGGCAAUAUGCGGUGCUAGAGGGAAAACUAGCUUCUCCCCAUCUUAUUCUGGCAUUCUGCAGUUAGUCCACAGAUACUACCCCUUUCAUUGAUACCGAUGCAUAAGUAGUGUAGAUCCUUGCUUGCGAGUACUUUGGAUGAGUACUCGCGGUUGCUUUGCUACCCCUUCCCCCCCCCCCCUUCUUUCUUCUUUCUGGUUGUUGCAACCAGAUGGUGGAGUCCAGGAGCCAGAUGCCACCACCGAUGACUACUACAACCCCGAGGGUGCCUACUACUACGUGGAGGCCGCCGACGACCAGGAGUAGUUAGGAGGCUCCCAGGCAGGAGGCCUUGCCUUUUCGAUCGUUGUUGCUUUUGUGCUAGCCUUCUUAAGGCAAACUUGUCUAACUCAUGUCUGUACUUAGAUAUUGUUGCUUCCGCUGACUCUUGUGUAUUCGAGCUUAUGUAUUCGAGCCCUCGAGGCCCCUGGCUUGUAAUAUAAGGAUUGUAUUAUUUUAAUUUGUGUCUAGAGUUGUGUUGUGAUACCUUCCCGUGAGUCCUUGAUCUUGAUCGUACACAUUUGCGUGUAUGAUUAGUGUAUGAUUGAAUCAAGGGCGUCACACCCAUCCCACCCAUCAACCGCCGCCCUCCUCCAUCACGCCGGAGUCGAUACCCCGACGUCGUCGUCCACCGCAACCUCAACCGCAACACCCUCCACGGCUAGUAGUUGAAGCUGAGGCCGAGCCGUCCGUACCCAAGCCAGUUCAACCACGCCGUCCUGCGCCUCACCGCUGCCGCUCCAACUUCGCCACCCUCCACCGCACCGGAGUUAUUCCUGCUACGCCGUCCUUCGCCGCCUCGGAUCUGCUUCCCCUCCGCCAAUAUACGGCCACGGCAACACAGUCAACAAUUUGGCCAUGGGUUUGUCCAAGGAUCCACUGUUCUCCAAAACAUCGGUUCCCCGGGAGAAAAAAGAAGAUCGCCGCAACAUAUGGAGGAGACCACACUGGCAACCGAUAAGGGUACUCCUCUUCCCUUAUUCGUGCAAAUCUUACGUGUCUGCUUGCACGCUAUUCAUCCCACAGAAGACACUAGUUGACCGCUUCUUCUUGAUACUAGAUGUUCCUAGUAACUCGCGAUGCACAAGGUUUCUCCUCAUAUACUAUUUCACCUUAGCUAGAGGUCCGUCGCCCCCCUGAAUUUCAAUUCCUGGUCAGUUGAUUCCCAAUUAACAGAAGCAUUCCCCGGCGUAACAGGCGCUAGUCCGCCUAUUACGCCGGGGAAGCAGCGCCUUGGUGUUUAUCUAAGGGGCGUGUGGGGCCUAGAGCUACUGGCGCCCGAUCUGGAGGUCAGCCGGGAUUAAAGGGAUGGCAUGGGGGCGCUGCCAAGCACGGCGGUGGUGUGAGGUCGAGGGGAGGGCGGGGCGGCGGAGGCAGGGGUCUGGGCCGGUGGUCGCUGGCGGUUCGAGAAAGAUCGUCAACAGUGACUGGCGGGAGGUAGUCGAAGGCCAUCUGCCCGUUCCUUAUAGAUCGGGCGGUUCAUUAAAAAAAUUGACUGACCUAUUUCAGUCGACUGUUAUCUUGAUAUGACCACAUGUGGUGGUGUGCUGGAGGAGUACCUGCAUUUCCUGUGCUCAUAUAUUACAAAAUCAUACGGAGUAGAAUCUAGUAAUUUUGUUUGCCAUGCAAUGUUGUAGAGCUAUCAUAUGUCUCCUGUCAUUUAUUUUUCAGCCACCUGCUAUCUGCUACUUUUACAGUGCACUAGUUCUGCACGCACUUCACCCAUACUCUCACUAUUGUGUUUCUAUGCAAGGGUAUUUCAGAGUCUGCCUCGAGAGAAGCAGAAAAGAAAAGACAGAAGUUGCUCCAGCUUUCUACGCGGGUAAGCACGGCACGUUACAGCGCUAUAAAGGGUGCAGUGUCAGCAGAUGGAGACGAUAAAUGUAGCUCUGGAGUUGAUGACCUCGCUCGCAAUGAACCACCAUCCCAGGUGUUUGCUUUAACUUCGCGGUGUCAUAUGUGGUUGCAUGUUCCAUAUGGUGUCUAGCUUGUAUUCGAAAGGCCGAAGUCGGUCUUUAUUAAGAUAAGGGAAGAUAUUUUUUACAUGAACCACCAUCCCGUGAGCACCAGAAGACAAAUAGCUAGUCAGGGCACUGGCCAAGCCAGUGACAAGCCCAGCAAAGACAGGCAUCACCUGGAAGCCAACUAAAAAGCCGCGAUGAUGGCGAAGCAGCCCGCCUCCCAUCAGGCUCUCAGGUCCUAGAUGAUCAUGCUCACCACUCCAGCCGGAUGUCUAGCUUGUAUUGCUUCCAAUUUGGUUAAAUUGCAUCUGCUUAGCUUACACAUUAUACCUUUGAAUAUGACAUGCCUUUCUGUUUUUGGUACAUACUAGUACAUCUGUGUAUUAACCAUGUUCUUACAUCAAACUAAUGUUCUUGUGUAUCCCUCAUCAAUCACUUAUGAUGAGGCAGUCAGGAAAGUGGACUACUCCUCAUUUAAAGAAUGCAGCGUCAGCCUCCCGACAUGAUUCUCAAGAAACAGCAAGGCUAGAUGAAGAUAGUGAAUGUAGCUCUGUAGUUGAUUACCGCAUUUCCCCUACACUAGCAUCGCAGGUGCUUGCUCUAACUUGGCAGCGUGAUAUGUGGUUGCAUGUUGCAUAUGGUGUCUAGAUUGUAAUUCUUCCAAUCUGGUUAAACUGCAUAUGUUAUUCUGAUUAGCUUAUACAUUAUACCUGUUAAUGUGACAUGCCUUCCUGUAUUUAGUACAUAGUACAUCUGUCUAUUAAGCAUGUCCUUACAUAAAACUAUUGUUUUUUUUGUAUCCCGCAUCAAUCAAUAUGACGAGACACCUUUAGUAUAUGCAGUGCGAUAUUAGUUGCAUCUUUCAUAUGAUUUAUAGCAUGCGCUGCUUCUAAUUUGUUGAAAUUCCAUUUAUGAUGGGACGCUUUUAACUUGGCAGAGUCAUAUUGGUUGCAUCUUUCAUGUGGUGUCUAGCUUGCAUUGCUUCUUAUUUGUUGGAAUGAUUUCUGCUUAGUUUACACAAGCAGUUGUAAACAUGCCACGCCGUCCUGUUUUUCGUACAUAUUCCAUCCUGGUAUCAUGUGUUUGCUUUACAUCAAAGUAGUGAUUGUCAGUAUCAUGCAUGAAUGAGUUCUGAAGAGAGAAUGUUAUUGCUUUUUCUUGUCGGUUUUACUUGACAAUUCAAAAUCAAUAAAGCGGAAGGAAGUUAGCAAGGCAGUGGAUAAAGGUGCUCCUUCCAAACGGAGGGCCUCUAUAGUUUCUACUCCUCCAUCCCCCCAGGAUGAUUUCCAAGACAACACAUGCAUAGACACUCAACGUAGCUGUGUUUAUGAUGAGCGCGUCUCCCCUAGUGCACCAUCACCGGUGCUCCCUCUAACUUGGCACUGUUAUAUGUGGUUGCAUGUUAUGUGUGAUGUCUAGCUUGUAUUGCUUCUAAUUUUGUUGAAUUCCAUCUGCUUACUUUACACAUUAUACUUGAAUAAGACACGUGUUCAUGUUUCUAGAACAUACAAUAUUUGUCUAUCACACCAUGUUCUUACAUCAAAUUACUACUGUUGUGUAACCUGCAACAAUCACUUAUCAUAAGACACAUUUGACUUCGGAGUGUGAUAUAGGUUACAUCUCGCAUUCUUUUCUAGCUUGUACUACUAAUUUGUUGAAAUGGCACUUAUGACGAGACAGUUUUAACUUGGUAGAGUGAUAUUCGUUGCAUCUUUCAUAUGGUUUCUAGCUUUCAUUGCUUCUAAUUUGUUAAAAUGCCUUCUCCUUAGUUUACACAUCAUAAGCUGUGAAUAUGCAAUGGCACUAAUGACGAGAGACCUCUAACUUGGUAGUGUGAUGUUCUUUGCAUCUUGCAUAUGAUUUAUUUCUUGUACUGCUUCACAUUUGUUUAAACACCAUUUAUGAUGAGACACUGUUAACUUGGCAGAGCGAUAUUUGUAGCAUCUUUCAUAUGGUGUCUACCUUCCAUUGCAUUGCUUCUAAUUUAGUGAAAUGUCUUCUGCUUAGUUUACACAUCAUAGUUCUGGUUAUCUCUUCCAUCCUAUUUUUCGUACAUAUUACAUCCUCCUAUCAUGUUGUUGUCUAACAUCAAAGUUCAGUUCGUCUGUAUCAUGCAUCAAUUUGUUCUGAAGAACUAAAUUGUUAUUCGUUGUUCUUGUCGGCUUGACUUAACAUGGCACAGAGAAAGAGGAAGAAACACAGAAUGGCAGGGAAUGGGAACCGGAAGAAUCCUGCAUAUUCUGCUGGUACUGAUGGUGCAAUAGAAGGUCAAAGUCCAGCGGAAAAUUCUACAAAUAGGGUAUCCCAUGCUACACGAGCUGCAAAAAAGCCAAACAGAAACAAAUAGCUGCCACCAAACAAGCAGAGACAGCCCUAGUUCUUGCAACACCUUCCACAAUACUACCAACUUCACGAGUUAGUCGUGCGUCAACUGAGCUAGCAGCACGUUCCCAAGCUCCCUUGCCACCUGACACUACUUCCCAAGCACUCUUGACACAAGACGAGUUGGCAAGAUCAGAUGAACCUUGUGAGCUUCAACAGCAAGAAGGUAGUUGUUGGAGUCAAGUUACAGUUGCAUGCUUCUUUAUAUGUAGUCUCAUGGUUUGAUGUACACUAACACUUCCUAUGUUCGUUGUUGGACUAGCACCUAGGCGCAAGAGGAAACAAACAUCAGGGAUAAUGCUCGAUAGGUUAACUAAUUCUAGAGGAGGAAGAAUGGAGAUCCGUUUUGAGGCAGGUUUAAAAAGGCCACGUGAUGCUACAGAGUCAGCCAAGUUAGUAUCAGAGGCAGCGGUUGCCGUUAGGUGUCAUGUACGUAUCCUCCGAACAUGGAUUCAGUACAGGAAUGACAAAAACGAAACCCAGUUCAACACCUUCCUCGACCAUUUAUCUGUAAGUAUGGUUAUGUAUGGAAACUAGUAAUAUCGUCUUGCUCUGUCCCAUACUUUCUAGGUUGCUGAUAAUGAGACUCCCAUAAUUUUCAACAGAUGAGGUUCAAGUUGGAUAGCCAAGAUGAUGCAACCAGACAAGCUUGCACCCAUGUUUUCAAGUCUGCUCUGCGACAGUAUCGGUAUAACUUGAGGAAAACUCACUUUGAAGGCAAGGCUAACAGUGAACUUUCCCAAACAUCUCCAGUGGAAAAUAUAUCGAAUGAAGACUGGAGGGGCCUCGUUAAACACUGGUCUGAUCCGAAGUAUCAGGUACAUUAUAUAUAUGUGAUCAGAUCACAUGUUGAAGUCCUAUUUACGCAUGUGCCACACAAAUCUAUCUUCUUGUAGGUGAACUGUUCAAAGAACAAGGCCAACCGUACGAAAGUGAAAUUCCAACAGACGACAGGAUCUCGUAGCUAUAUUGCACACUGCGAGGCUAUUGUAAUUAGCUGUUUUUUCACUCUUUUCAAUGUACCAUAUUAUCAGAUCUAUAUUGACUUGUUCCAAAUGUAGAGGAAAGCCCGCAAGGACCAAAAAGUACCUGAACCAAAUGUUGUGGAAAUCUUCAAGGACUGUCACACCAGCAAGAAGAAGGGCAUGACUACACCAGUCAAAGCCGUUGUUGUAAGUCCUUAAUCCGCAUGCCUUUUAACUACUACUUACUCUGACUUGUGCCUUGAACUGCAUGGUUUGCAGCCAAUGUCUAUUACUCUUUUCAAUUUUAUACACAAUUGUCUUAGCGUAUCAUUGCACCUUACAAGGUUUAAAAGAGAGGAGUGAUGUUCCUUUGAUCUUGACCUGUAAUCUAGUUCCGUGCUGGACUUGCCCACACAACGUUACAAUUGCCUGUUUGUCUGUUCUCAGUUGUUUUGUGAUAUGAAUGAUGUCAUACUAUGCUUACGGUAUUAUAAACUUCGUCUCUUUAUCCUUAGCCCUCAAUACAAUGUGAAGAAAUAAACAAUACAUUAGCGAUGGUACAUGGUCAUAUGUUUGGAACCUAGUUUUAUUAUGUACUUUGCAAUAAAAUACAACUAAUAUUUUACACGGGUUCACCAGAAUAAGUUCUGUAUAUAGACCAAAGCUAUUUUGUUUGGUUUUGCUGCCUCCUUAAUAUCUUCUGUUCUGGUACUACUAAUGUAAAACCUCAACUUUUCAGCGAGCUAUGGAAAAAAUGGUGGAACCGCCACCUUCUGAAGGUGGCGAGGAAACUAUAACCGCAAUGUCAGCUCUUGCUGUAGUGGGUCAGUACCUGUCCACUAACAGUGCCAAAAGCACGUUCCUGCGUAAUACUGGGUUGUUGUUAAGGCAAUCUCGUCCAAACUGCCUCAUGAUCAAGAUAUGCAAGCUCAAAACAAUGUUGUAUCUGCGCCAGACACAAGUCCAUUCCCUAACAGAGACCCUUUGUGAAACAAGGAGAGACAUUGUUCGAUGUUGUCAAGAUAUGCAUGGUUUUGAAACCAGACUAUCAGACAUUUGCUAUGUUGUUCAGGAGCCUAGGAUAACUGAAGGCAAAGGUUAUGGUGCUCCAUCGGACAAUACAGCGUGAAAACGUAACAGUCAGGUCAAAUGAACUGAGCUUCUGAACUUCUGGUGGUGCAUUUAUCUGCUAGACUGUUAACUUUUAUGCCAACCUUCCUUUUGUUUUAUAGUUGUAAUUUGUUUUGGUGCGAUACAAAAUUUGUUCUUAACGUGCAGCCACCGGCUGAAGAAAACAGCAAGCCAUUUUUGUAUAGUGUAGGGUGUUCCCUAUAUUUGCACUGGUGGCGAACUUUGAUGCCCAGUGGAUGUAAUAUGUGUAAUAGCCGUGAUAGCCUAGCGUAAGUUGCUUGCUUAUUUAUUUCCUUAUUGUCUUGUUUAUUUGUUUUCUUGUAGUCAGUGCAGUUCUUUUUCCGCGGUUUGCUAGUGGCCGCAAUAACCUAUUUUUUAAAACUAGGCCACAAUAACCAUGGGCUACAUAUUUACUGUAGUUAACAUGGGCCUCCUACGGGCCGUAGAAACAAUGUGCCUUCUAAGGGCCAUAUAAACAAUGGGCCUUCUACGGGGCGUAGACACAAUGGGCCUUCUAUGGGUCAUAUCAUCAAUGGGCCUUCUACGGGCCGUAUGAGCGGUUGGCCAAACAUGGGCCAAUAACAGACCACAUUAUGGUCGUAAAUGGACUAGAGUUGAAAUCGUCCGUUCAUGGGCCGACCAUAACGGGUCGUCGUUAAUCGGCCGUAUUUGAUGACGCUAUGAAAACGGCCCAACGUAUUAACGGGCCACAAACGGGCCGACUGUAACCACGGGCUGAAUUUGGCCCACAAACAGAAAAUGACAGUAACGGGCCGUAAGUAAACGAAUGCUGGAAAUGAGCCCAAGAAUAAAUGGGCCCUGAGAAGGCCGAAAGAUAACAUGGGCUGGAAACGGCCCAACCGAAUAAUGGGCCCUUAAUGGGUAUAAAGUGAAACACUGUUCAUUACGGGCCAGUUUUACCACGGGCCGUUAAUGGGCCGAGAGUUACUAAGGGCCUCAUAUGGGCCGAAAGACGUCAUGGGUCAUACAUGGGCCGGAAGUUAAAACGGUUUGGAAUUAUAUAGGACGGCCCAAAUGACGCUACUAGGCCUAAUUCGGAUAGGCCGUAAACGGGCCCUGGGUUAGGGGGCUGUAAAUAGGCUAUAUGCGAACAGGUCGUUAACAGGCUUGCCGUGGGCCGGCCCUCCACCUUUUUACCAAGUCAAACGGGCCGACCUUUUCACAGGAAUGGGCCUCUGUUGGGCCGUGCCACGUGUCGACGUAUCAUAGGCGCUUUGGGUCCAAUGAGUGGAUGACAUCUGUCCCAACGGUGAGCCGACACGUGUUUCCUCCAGCCAAUGAUGAUUUUACACGUGGAAAAUGUUGGAAAUAUGCCCUAGAGGCAAUAAUAAAUGGUUAUUAUUAUAUUUCUUUGUUCAUGGUAAUUGUCUAUUAUUCAUGCUAUAAUUGUAUUGUCCGGAAAUCGUAAUACAUGUGUGAAUACAUAGACCACAACCUGUCCCUAGUAAGCCUCUAGUUGACUAGCUCGUUGAUCAACAGAUAGUCAUGGUUUCCUGACUAUGGACAUUGGAUGUCAUUGAUAACGGGAUCACAUCAUUAGGAGAAUGAUGUGAUGGACAAGACCCAACUUAAGCAUAGCAUAAAAGAUCGUAUAGUUUCGUUUGCUAGAGCUUUUCCAAUGUCAAGUAUCUUUUCCUUAGACCACGAGAUCGUGCAACUCCCGGAUACCGUAGGAGUGCUUUGGGUUGCAUGUGAUGUUUUCCAAUGUCAAGUAUCUUUUCCUUAGACCACGAGAUCGCAUGUCAAGUAUCUUUUCCAAUGUCACUAUUUGAUUGCAUGUGAUGUUUAUCAUGUUUUUGCAUCUUAUUUGCUUAGAACGACGGUAGCAAGUAGGAUGAUCCCUUAUAAUAAUUUCAAGAAAGUGUCCACCCUAACUGUGCACCGUUGCGAAGGUUCGUCGUUUCGAAGCACCACGUGAUGAUCGGGUGUGAUAGAUUCUUACGUUCGAAUACAACGGGUGUUGACGAGCCUAGCAUGUACAGACAUGGCCUCAGAACACACGCAAUACACUUAGGUUGACUUGACGAGCCUAGCAUGUACAGACAUGGCCUCGGAACACGGAGGACCGAAAGGUCGAGCAUGAGUCGUAUAGAAGAUACGAUCAACAUGGAGAUGUUCACCGAUCUUGACUAGUCCGUCUCACGUGAUGAUCGGACACGGCCUAGUUGAACUCGGAUCAUGUUUCACUUAGAUGACUAGAGGGAUGUCUAUCUGAGUGGGAGUUCAUAAUCAGAUGAACUUCAUUAUCAUGAACAUAGUCAAAAAGGUAUUUGCAAAUUAUGUCAUAGCUUGCGCUUUAGUUCUACUGGUUAAGAUAUGUUCCUAGAGAAAAUUUAGUUGAAAGUUGGUAGUAGAAAUUAUGCGGACUGGGUCCGUAAACUGAGGAUUGUCCUCAUUGCUGCACAGAAGGCUUAUGUCCUUAAUGCACCGCUCGGUGUGCUGAACCUCAGCGUCGUCUGUAGAUGUUACGAAACAUCUGACAUACACGUUUUGAUGACUACGUGAUAGUUCAGUGCGGUUUAGAAUUGUGGCACCAAAGACGUUUUGAAACGUCGCAGAACAUGUGAGAUGUUCCGAAGACUGAAAUUGGGAUUUCAGACUAGUGCCCACGUCAAGAGGUAUGAGACCUCUGACAAGUUUCUUAAGCCUGCAAACUAAGGGAGAAAAGCUCAAUCGUUGAGCGUGUGCUCAGAUAGUCUGAGUGCCACAACGCUUGAAUCGAGUGGGAGUUAAUCUCCCAGAUGAGAUAGUGAUAGUUCUCCAUAGUCACUGCCACCAAGCUAGUAGAGCUUCGUGAUGAACUAUAACAUAUCAAGGAUAAUCAUGAUGAUCCUUGAGCUAUUCGCGAUGUUUGACACCGCGAGAGUAGAAAUCAAGAAGGAGCAUCAAUUGUUGAUGGUUAGUAAAACCACUAGUUUAAGAAGGGCAAGGGCAAAAGGGAUACUUCAUGAAACAGCUAGUCGUUUGCUGCUCUAGUGAAGAAUCCCAAGGUUGAACCCAAACCCGAGACUAAGUGCUUCUGUAAUGAGGGGAACGGUCACUGAAGCGGAACUACCCUAGAUACUUGGUAGAUGAGAAGGCAGGCAAGGUCGACAGAAGUAUAUUGGAUAUACAUUGUAUGAAUGUGUACUUUACUAGUACUCCUAGCAGCACCAGGGUAUUAGAUACCGGUUCGGUUGCUAAGUGUUAGUAACUCAAAAUAAAAGCUGCGGAAUAAACGGAGACUAGCUAAAGGUGAGAUGACGAUGUGCGUUGGAAGUGUUUCCAAGGUUGAUCAAGCAUCGCAUGCUCCCUCUACUAUCGAGAUUUGGUGUUUGCGUUGAACAUGAUUGGAUUAUGUUUAUCGCAAAACGGUUAUUCAUUUAAGGAGAAUAAUGGUUACUCUGUUUAUUUGAAUAAUACCUUCAAUGGUCUUGCACCUAAAAUGAAUCUCGAUCGUAGUGAUACACAUGUUCAUGCCAAAAAGAUAUAAGAUAGUAAUGAUAGUACCACAUACUUGUGGCACUGCCACUUGAGUCAUAUUGGUAUAGAACGCAUGAAGAAGCUCCAUGUGGAUGGAUCUUUGGACUCACUCAUUUUUGAAAAGAUUGAGACAUGCGUACCAUGUCUAUUGGUAUAUAUGCAUGAAGAAACACCAUGCAGAUGGAUCGUUUGGACUCACUUGAUUAUGAAUCACUUGAGACAUGCAAAUCAUACCACAUGGGCAAGAUGACUAAAAGGCCUCGUUUUCAGUAAGAUGGAACAAGAGAGCAACUUAUUGGAAGUAAUACAUUUUGUUGUAUGCAGUCCAAUGAGUGCUGAGGCAUGCAGUGGACAUCGUUAUGUUCUUACUUCACAGAUGAUUUGAGUAGAUGCUGAGUGUAUUUACUUGAUGAAACACUAGUCUGAAUUAUUGAAAGGUUCAAGUAAUUUCAGAGUGAAGUUGAAGAUCGUCGUGACAAGAGGAUAAAAUGUCUGUGAUAUGAUCAUAGAGAUGAGUAUCUGAGAUACGAGUUUGGCACACAAUUGAGACAUUGUGGAAAGUGUUUCACAAUUAAUACCGCCUGGAACACCAUAGUGUGAUGGUGUGUCCGAACAUCAUAACUGCACCCUAUUGGAUAUGGUGCAUACCAUGAUGUUUCUUAUCAAAUUACCACUAUCGUUUAUGGGUUAGGCAUUAGAGACAACCGCAUUCACUUUAAAAGGGGCACCACACAAUUCCGUUGAGACGACACCGUUUAUAGAAACCUAAGUUGUCGUUUCUUAAAAGUUUGGGGCUGCGAUGCUUAUGUGAAAAAGUUUCAGGUGAUAAGCUCGAACCCAAAGCGGAUAAAUGCAUCUUCAUAGAAUACCCAAAAACAGUUGGGUAUACCUCCUAUUUCAGAUCUGGAAGCAAAAGUAACUGCUUCUAGAAACGAGUCCUUUCUCAAGGAAAAGUUUCUCUCGAAAGAAUUGAGUGGGGGGAUGGUGGAGACUUGAUAAGGUUAUUGAACCGUCGCUUCAACUAGUGUGUAGCAGGGCACAGGAAGUUGUUCCUGUGGCACCUACACCAAUUGAAGUGGAAGCUUAUGAUAGUGAUCAUGAAACUUCGGAUCAAGUCACUACCAAACCUCGUAGGACGACGAGGAUGCGCACUACUUCAGAGUAAUGCGUGAUCCUGUCUUGGAAGUCAUGUUGCUAGACAACAAUGAACCUACGAGCUAUGGAGAAGCGAUGGUGGGCCCAUAUUCCGACGAAUGGCUCGAGGCCAUGAAAUCCGAGAUAGAAUCCAUGUAUCAGAACAAAGCAUGGACUUUGGUGAACUUGCCCGAUGAUCGGCAAGCCAUUGAGAUAAAUGGAUCUUUAAGAAGAAGACGGACGUGGGCGGUAAUGUUACCGUCUAUGAAGCUCGACUUGUGGCAAAGAGUAUUUUCACAAGUUCAAGGAGUUGACUACGAUGAGUUUUUCUCAUCCGUAGCGAUGCUUAGGUCCGUCGGAAUCACGUUAGCAUUAGCUGCAUUUAUGAAAUCUGGCAGAUGGAUGUCAAAACAAGUUUCCUUACCAGUUUUCGUAAGGAAAGGUUGUAUGUGAUACAAUCAGAAAGGUUUUGUCGAUCCUAAGGAUGCUAAAAGGUAUGCUAGCUCCAGCGAUCCUUCGAUGGAUUAGAGCAAGCAUCUCGGAGUCAGAAUAUAUGCUUUGAUGGGGUGAUCAAAGUUUUUGGGUUUAUACAAAGUUUGUUAGAAACUUGUAUUUACAAUAAAGUGAGUGGGAGCGCUACAACAUUUCUGAUAAGUAUAUGUGAAUGACAUAUUGUUGAUCCGAAAUGAUGUAAAAUUUCUGGAAAGCAUAAAGGGUUGUUUGAAAGGAGUUUUUCAAAGGAAGACCUGGAUAAAGCUGCUUACAUAUUGGGCAUCAAUAUCCAUAGAGAUAGAUCAAGACGCCUGAUGAUACUUUCAAAAGACAGCACACCUUGACAUGAUUUUGAAAGAGUUCAAAAUAGAUCAGCAAAGAAGGAGUUCUUGGCUGUGUUACAAGGUGUGAGUAUUGAGUAAGACUCAAGACCUGACCACAGCGGAAGAUAGAGAAAGGACGAAGGUCGUCCCAUAUGCUUUAGACAUAGGCUCUAUAGUAUGCUAUGCUGUGUACCGCACAUGUAGUGUGCCUUGAGUUGGUCAAGAGGGUACAAUGGUGAUCCGGGAAAGGAUCUCAUGACAGCGGUCGAACUUAUCCUUAGUACCUAGUGGAUUAAGGAAUUUUCUCGAUUAUGGAGGUGGAAAGGAGUUCGUCGUAAAGGGUUACGUCGAUGCGAACUUUGACACUAAUCCGGAUGACUCUGAGUAGUAAACCGGAUUCGUAUAGUAGAGCAAUUAUUUGAAAUGGCUCCAAAUAGCGCGUGGUAGCAUCCACAAGAUGACAUAGAUAUUCGUAAAGCACACGGUUCUGAAAGGUUCAGACCCGUUGACUAAUAACCUCUCUCACAAGCAUAACAUGACCAAACCAGAACACAUUGAGUGAUAAUCACAUAGUGAUGUGAACUAGAUCAUUGACUCUAGUAAACUCUUUAUAUGUUGGUCACAUGGUGAUGUGACCAGUGAGUGUUAAUCACAUGGUGAUGUGAACUAGAUUAUUGACUCUAGUGCAAGUGGGAGACUGUUGGAAAUAUGCCCUAGAGGCAAUAAUAAAUGGUUAUUAUUAUAUUUCUUUGUUCAUGGUAAUUGUCUAUUAUUCAUGCUAUAAUUGUAUUGUCCGGAAAUCGUAAUACAUGUGUGAAUACAUAGACCACAACCUGUCCCUAGUAAGCCUCUAGUUGACUAGCUCGUUGAUCAACAGAUAGUCAUGGUUUCCUGACUAUGGACAUUGGAUGUCAUUGAUAACGGGAUCACAUCAUUAGGAGAAUGAUGUGAUGGACAAGACCCAACUUAAGCAUAGCAUAAAAGAUCGUAUAGUUUCGUUUGCUAGAGCUUUUCCAAUGUCAAGUAUCUUUUCCUUAGACAAUGAGAUCGUGCAACUCCCGGAUACCGUAGGAGUGCUUUGGGUGUGCCAAACGUCACAACGUAACUGGGUGACUAUAAAGGUGCAUUACGGGUAUCUCCGAAAGUGUCUGUUGGGUUGGCACGGAUCGAGACUGGGAUUUGUCACUCCGUGUGACGGAGAGGUAUCUCUGGGCCCACUCGGUAAUGCAUCAUCAUAAUGAGCUCAAUGUGACUAAGGCGUUAGUCACGGGAUCAUGCAUUGCGGUACGAGUAAAGAGACUUGCCGGUAACGAGAUUGAACAAGGUAUUGGGAUACCGACGAUCGAAUCUCGGGCAAGUAACAUACCGAUUGACAAAGGGAAUUGCAUACGGAUUGAUUGAAUCCUCGACACCGUGGUUCAUCCGAUGAUAUCAUCGUGGAACAUGUGGGAGCCAACAUGGGUAUCCAGAUCCCGCUGUUGGUUAUUGACCGNNNNNNNNNNNNNNNNNNNNNNNNNNNNNNNNNNNNNNNNNNNNNNNNNNNNNNNNNNNNNNNNNNNNNNNNNNNNNNNNNNNNNNNNNNNNNNNNNNNNNNNNNNNNNNNNNNNNNNNNNNNNNNNNNNNNNNNNNNNNNNNNNNNNNNNNNNNNNNNNNNNNNNNNNNNNNNNNNNNNNNNNNNNNNNNNNNNNNNNNNNNNNNNNNNNNNNNNNNNNNNNNNNNNNNNNNNNNNNNNNNNNNNNNNNNNNNNNNNNNNNNNNNNNNNNNNNNNNNNNNNNNNNNNNNNNNNNNNNNNNNNNNNNNNNNNNNNNNNNNNNNNNNNNNNNNNNNNNNNNNNNNNNNNNNNNNNNNNNNNNNNNNNNNNNNNNNNNNNNNNNNNNNNNNNNNNNNNNNNNNNNNNNNNNNNNNNNNNNNNNNNNNNNNNNNNNNNNNNNNNNNNNNNNNNNNNNNNNNNNNNNNNNNNNNNNNNNNNNNNNNNNNNNNNNNNNNNNNNNNNNNNNNNNNNNNNNNNNNNNNNNNNNNNNNNNNNNNAGCAACAUCUAAGCCUUGGGCGCCUCCCUCCUCCCCUGCAACACCUCUCUCUCUCGCAGAAGCUUGGCGAAGCCCUGCCGGAGACCUGCUACAUCCACCACCACGCCGUCGUGCUGUUGGAUCUCCAUCAACCUCUCCUCCCCCCUUGCUGGAUCAAGAAGGAGGAGACGUCGCUGCACCGUACGUGUGUUGAACGCGGAGGUGCCGUCCGUUCGGCACUCGGUCAUCGGUGAUUUGGAUCACGGCAAGUACGACUCCGUCAUCCACGUUCAUUGGAACGCUUCCGCUCGCGAUCUACAAGGGUAUGUAGAUGCACUCCUUUCCCCUCGUUGCUAGUAGACUCCAUAGAUGCAUCUUGGUGAGCGUAGGAAAAUUUUAAAUUAUGCUACGAUUCCCAACAGAAAAUCCCCAUUGGUCGGGGCUGUUAACGGGUUAUCGGAUCCAAAACCAGACCCGAUAGCUUACCGGCGUUCUGUUACGGUGGAUGCCACAUGUAGGUCACCCUUGACGAAAGCACUUCUGUGACGCGCGAUUUAUCGUCAUGGAAGUGGACACUUCCGUGAUGAUAAUUUUGUAAUGUCAUGGAACACUUCUAUGACAGCACAGGUAUGACUAUCUUGAUUCUGUCAUAAAAUUGUCAUGGAUGUACAUGCAUGACAGAAAACGUGACCUACUGUGACAAACACGCAUCAUCACGGAAGUGUAUUUUUUUGUAGUGGCGGAAGCAUACUCACCCCUAUUGCACCCUUCCUACUUCCCCGUCCUUCUUCUCCUACCUCUCCUCCUCCCUGGAUCCUCCUUUGUCUCUCUUUUCUACAAGAAAAAUCGAAGCCCCGCCAUGACCUUGAGCUCCCUCUGCCAACCAUGGAGGCCCACCUCCACCUGAAGGACUUCGCGCUGCUGCGCCGGAUCCGUCCUUCUUCUGCGCCCGCUGGAUCCCGCGGCCGCAGUUCUUCAUCGAGCAGAUGUGUCAUCCCCAGCUGCUCGAGCCGCCGCGUUGACCUGAUCCAGAAGCUACUUUCGAGCGCCGAGGCGAGGGCGGCGAGCGGGCAGAGGUGCGGCUGCGGCGGUGGGCGCAUUGAGGUCGGCCGUGGCGGCGAGCGGUGCGGCGGCUAGGGGGAUUUGGCUCGGCCUGGGCGCGGGUCAGGGUCGAAGCAAGGAGGCAGAUGCGUACAAUUAUUUUUUCCAGUGAACCGUUUUUCUGGCAGAUUAAUGAUGGAACCCGACGGAAAAAACCGACGAAACUGGGAGGUGGGAUCGUUACUGCAGGGGAAUUGGGAGGUGGGAGGGAGGACGAAAAAAACAGGAGAGGUGGGACGAAAAUUAACCGUGGAACGGAGAUUACCAACUGAGACAUUAGGAGUAGAGACUAUUCACAAUUAACUACAAGGAGAUUGAAGAAGGAAUACAUGCAUUAAUUCAUUUUAUCAAAACAUAAACCUACACAAAUCAUAUGGAGAGCAAUUGUACUAGAGGCCUGCCAGUUUAACGCAAAGGGCGGCUUGCUUCCCCAUCGCUCAUUAGAGGGGAACCACUGCCUGAUGCUUCAGCUGGAGGGGAAGGGUCCCUACCCUGGACGAACCAAAGUUAGUUCUUGGGUAAGGGGAUGACGGUGGCCGGCAAGAGGGCAAGACACCGGCUGUGUACGCGGUGAUGCCUCGGCGGUGGCCUUCCUGGGACCCAAGCGGCGGCGGCCUCUCGUAUUCUACAUCUGCUCGAUGAUGGCGGACGUGUUGGCCGCCACCUCGUCGCCAUCCGCGUAGCUGGCUACUUUCUCUGCGUGCAUGGCGUGGCUACGCACGCGUCGGCAUCGGAUAGCGCGGUCGAAGGCCCUGGAGGCGUCGUCGACGGCGGUGAUGAUGCACGUGCCGCCGUGCUCCCCGCUGUGCCAGGAUGGAGCAACUCGCCACUCCUCCGCGAGCUGGCUUCGAGCGGCGAGUUGUUGAACCACGCAUCGGCUUGCGGUGGCAACUUCAUCUGUUGGGCUAGGCGAGGGAGGUGAAGCAACAAGCUACCUUGCUCGUAUCCGUCGGGCUCGGCGGGCCACUCAGCCGGCUUUUAUGCCGGAGAACUGCUCUUCCAGCUCGUCGGAUGCCAUCGAAAGAUUGGAGAAAAUGGUGGAAGGAGGAGAUGGAGAGAGGCGAAGUGGUGCGAUUCUUGCCCGGCGUCUGCCCUUGUUUAAAUAGAGGGCGGACGUGAGGAGCCUGCCCGACAUUGUGUUUAAUGCCAGCCCGCUCGUGAACGGACGUCUGGCCAGAGUAGAUUUUUGGGCUUCCAUGCAGGUUCAAUAGAGGUGUUUAAAUGCGGCGAGGAGGCGUGUUCAGCCGGGUAUGCAGCAGGCGGCGCCCUCGGCCGGCGCGCCGCUUCAAUGGCGGAGGCAGUGAGAGGUCGCAUCCAUCCUGAGCCGCCUACAAUGUGGAGCGGCACGCUCUACGGCGGCAUGAAUGCGGGCAGCUGGACGACGGGUGGAAAGCAUGAGCGGGCGGAGUGAGAGGUUUUUGGUGGGUCGGGGCGGUCAGAAGCGGGCGUGAUAGUGAUCCGGACUUCCGUAAACCUCCAUGUUUCUCACCGGUUUGCGGAAAAAAACGUGUUCAAACCGUGUCGCGGACCGAUACAGAAUAGCGUUGGAUGGCUUUCACGGUCCAACGGUUGCAGGAGGUUUGCGGGUCAGCGUUGGAGAUGGCCUUAGAACAAGGUCUUUUAUUGUAGCUCCAAUGUUGUCUUUUAGGAAGAUUAUACAAUUAGGAGGACUUAUGCACUUUUCUCCUGCCCGGCGGCGCAUCUGGCGUGGUUGGAGCUACAAGAUGGAGCCUUUGACGAUGUCGCAGUGUUAAAAAAAAGACCAACCCAAGAGCUAACCCUUGUUGGCAUUUUUAUAGAAGAAACUCCACGAGCUCCGCGUGUUCGAGCCAGGACUCAAACUUGGGUGGGCUCGCGGCAACCUUAGCUGCCCAACCAACGGGUCGACACCCCGUCCUCACGAUGUCGCAGUGUUAAGGGAGAAGAGCCGACCAGAGAUGGGUUUGGGAGGUUUAAAUCAGGUAAACAUUUUUCCACAACAAUAUUACUAUUAGCGACUAUUUCAGCUCUCUACUUUCUCCAUCCUCAAAUUCACCGGUAUUACAAAAAUCAAUAUCUACUAUCAUUACUACGCUUUUAUCAUUAUCUCUUCGCUGAACUAGUGCACAUAUAUAAAUUACCAUUAUAUUUGAUUUAUUGGGGACACAAGAGAGCCUUCAGUUCGCCCUCUCUGUGGUGCAACGAUGUCUAGUAGUUCUCGGUCGUUAGAUCGAUCAUCAUUUUGAGUUACCGCUCUCCGGGUCAAAGUGGGGGAGGGGAUGGGGCAUAGGAAAGAUGGGUUUCAUUUGGAUUCUACUAACAAAGCUUAUCCAGCUCACUCCUGUGUUUGUGGUUUAUGAAUCUGAUUGUAAUUUUUUUUAUGACAGAUCAUGAAUAGUAAGCAAAGAAAUUAAUAAAAAGGGAUUCUGUUACAAAUUAUUCUUGCAUUAUCGGAGCUUGGGAGGUAAAAAAAAUACCGAUGUACACAUGAACACUGCCUGAUGCCUCAGGACCGAAAAUGUUAGUUGUUAGAGCAUCUACAACUGGACUUGACAAAUCCGUCCCUCUAUACGCAUGCGGACUCGUUCGUGGAUAAUGACGGGUUGCAUCUUUUAAGUUUUUCUUCGCACAACCGGACACCUUAGUUAGCAAACCUUAAAUCCAUACAAAACACAUGCAAUGUACGUAAACGAUGCAACACACAUCAUCCGGUUAUUACAUCAUGACAUACCAUCGAACUAUCAAACUUUGGCAUGUUCUACCUACAUAUUAGCUAUGGAGAAGCUCAUCCAUGGUUGCCCUUGCCCUUCCCGGCGCCUUUGCCAUCUUUAUCCCGGAAGUACCGGCCAAAGACGCCAAUGGAUCCAACCGGAGUUGAGUGAUCCGUCGAUGUCUUCCUUCUCAACUUUCGGGGGCAGUCCAGCCAUGACACAGACCGCCCGGUUUUGCUCUCGGAGAACUUCCUCAUACGUAGAGCGCGCGCCGCCGCAUCUGCUGCCGCCAUAUCGACAGCGAGGCAGGCCUCGGGCUUAUCCUCUUCUUCCAACGGCCCGGAGAUGGGGAGGCUACCGGACCGCGAAGAUCCUACCCCGGUAGAUCGAGUGUCCUCUGCGUCGACACAAUGGAUUCGCACCGAAAAGAUCCCCCGUCGGUCAGGCGCAGUCCUCCCAGGAGCGCCAAAGGGCAAUGCGUACGGCCAUAGCAUCCUCCAAACCUCACUGGACGACACACCCUAGUCGACGGAUCCAGACUACUUGAAGUCUGCUGGAGAAGGCCGGACGGGAGCUUGGGUGGCAAAGUGGAGUGGUUAGGUUUUGGUCUGGGAAGAGAACAGAGACAAAUAUAUGUGUGGUUGAGGUGAGCCAGAGUAGACCGCCAUUGAUGUGGUCCCGAGCCACUCCAUAUUCGCACUAAAUUUGGACUGAAUACGAGGGAUGCCAAUCAGCCCCGAGCGUUUGAGGCAACCGUCUAGAUCACUUUUUUUAUUGGUCACUGACAGCGUAGGGUUGAGGCAGCCGACUGUAGAUGCUCUUAGGAGGCCGCAGGGCGAACAUGACAGGAAACAGUGACCUCUUUCUCUGCAAACGAGCCUGCGUACGUGCAACUUGUCCUGAGCACUAUGCAGCAUACGACUUGAGACACUCACAGAUUCAGAGCCAUGCCAAAUAAAAAUGCUGGAAUAACCAGAUAUUCUCUUUCAAAGCACACUCUAAAUAAGUCGAGAAUUCAACAGAGGCAACCACCAAAAUUUACUUGCAUGACUCCAAUAUAACCAGAAACACGUUAUAGUACAGUUGGCCAAAAAGGAACAGAUCCCAACCCACAGAACAAGAGUAAAAAAGCACAAACAGGUCUUGAACAAGAAAAACGCCUCAGGGAGCCGCAAGCGUUCUUCUUAUUCUCCGAGUGUCAAAAUCAACCUCAAAUAGAUAAAGACAUGUUCCCACGCAGUUCCAAGUGUCCAGGUGCCUCUGAAGGGAAUACUGACCGCCGCAAACCCUAAUCUCUGCUUUGCCUCAAAGGUAUUACACGGAAGAGGCUAUUCCCCUCCCAGCCAAUCAC